UUUCUUUUGGGUACCCUAUGAAGAUGCACUUCUCCGAUUUGGGUUAGAGUUUAUCAGGUUGAAACUUUUUCACAUAAGCAUUGCAACCUCAAACUUUAAGAAACGACAGCUUAGGUUUCUUGCCAAACCAUAGUUCAUACGGUGUCGUCUCAACGGAUUUAGAUGGUGCCCUAUUUAACGUGAAUGCAGCUGUCUCUAAUGCAUAACCCCAAAACGAUAGUGGUAGAUCGGUAAGAGACAUCAUAGACCACACCAUAUCUAAUAAAGUACGGUUAUGACGUUCGGACACACCAUUAUGAUGUGGUGUUCCAGGUGGCGUGAGUAGUGAAACUAUUUCACAUUGUUUUUAACUGAAGGCCAAACUCGUAACUCAAAUAUUUUACUUCUGCGAUCAUAUCGUAGAAACUUUCAUUUUUGUUACGAUGAUUCUCCACUUCACUCUGAAAUUCUUUGAACUUUUCAAAUGUUUCAGACCUGUGUUUCAUCAAGUAGAUAUACUCAUAUCUGCUCAAAUCAUCUGUGAAGAUCAGAAAAUAAUGAUACCUGCCACGAGCCUCAAUAUUCAUCGGACCACAUACAUCAGUAUGUAUGAUUUCCAACAAAUCUGUUGCUCGCUCCAUUGUUCCGGAGAACGGAGUUUUAGUCAUCUUGCCCAUAAGGCAUGGUUCACAAGCAUCAAGUGAUUCCAAAAUCCCAUCAGCAUGGAGUUUCUUCAUGCGUUUUACACCAAUAUGACCUAAACGGCAGUGCCACAAAUAAGUUGCACUAUCAUUAUUAACUUUGCAUCUUUUGGCUUCAAUAUUAUGAAUAUGUGUAUCACUACGAUCGAGAUCCAACGAACUAUUUUCAUUGGGUGUAUGACCAUCGAAGGUUUUAUUCAUGUAAACAGAACAACAAUUAUUCUCUGACUUUAAUGAAUAACUGUAUUGCAAUAAACAUGAUCAAAUCAUAUUCAUGUUCAACGCAAACACCAAAUAACACUUAUUUAGGUUCAACACUAAUCCCGAAAGUAUAGGGAGUGUGCGAUGAUGAUCAUAUCAAUCUUGGAACCACUUCCAACACACAUCGUCACUUCACCCUUAACUAGUCUCUGUUCAUUCUGCAACUCCCGUUUCGAGUUACUACUCUUAGCAACUAAACUAGUAUCAAAUACUGAGGGGUUGCUAUAAACACUAGUAAAGUACAUAUUAAUAACAUGUAUAUCAAAUAUACCUAUGUUCACUUUGCCAUCCUUCUUAUCCGCCAAUUACUUGGGGUAGUUCCGCUUCUAGUGACCAAUCCCUUUGCAGUAGAAGCACUCAGUUUCAGGUUUAGGUCCAGACUUGGGUUUUUCACUUGAGCAGCAACUUGCUUGUGGUUCUUCCUGAAGUUCCCGUUUCUUCCCUUUGUCCGUUUACUUGAAACUAGUGGUUUUGUUUACCAUCAACACUUGAUGCUUUUCUUGAUUUCUACCUUCGUUGAUUUCAGCAUCACGAAGAGCUUGGAAUCGUUUCCGUUAUCCCUUGCAUAUUAUAGUUCAUCACGAAGUUCUACUAACUUGGUGAUGGUGACUAGAGAAUUCUGUCAAUCACUAUUUUAUCUGGAAGAUUAACUCCCACUUGAUUCAAGCAAUUGUAGUACCCAGACAAUCUGAGCACAUGCUCACUGCUUGAGCUAUUCUCCUCCAUAUUUUAGCUAUAGAACUUGUUGGAGACUUCAUAUCUCUCAACUCGGGUAUUUGCUUGAAAUAUUAACUUCAACUCCUGGAACAUCUUAUAUGGUCCAUGACGUUCAAAACGUCUUUGAAGUCCCGAUUCUAAGUCGUUAAGCAUGGUGCACUAAACUAUCUAGUAGUCGUCAUAUUGAGCUAGCCAGAUGUUCAUAGCGUCUGCAUCUGCUCCUGCAAUAGGCCUGUCACCUAGCGGUACAUCAAGGACAUAAUUCUUCUAUGCAGCAAUGAGGAUAAACCUCAGAUCACAGAUCCAAUCCGCAUCAUUGCUACUAACAUUUUUCAACUUAGCUUUCUCUAGGAACAUACCAAAAAUAAAACAAGGGAGCUAAACGCGAGCUAUUGAUCUACAACAUAGAUAUGCUAAUACUACCAGGACUACGUUCAUGAUAAAUUAAAGUUUAAUUAAUCAUAUUACUUAAGAACUCCCACUUAGAUAGACAUCCCUCUAAUCCUCUAAGUGAUCACGUGAUCCAUAUCAACUAAACCAUGUCCGAUCAUCACGUGAGAUGGAGUAGUUUCAAUGGUGAACAUCACUAUGUUGAUCAUAUCUACUAUAUGAUUCACGCUCGACCUUUCGGUCUUAGUGUUCCGAGGCCAUAUCUGUUAUAUGCUAGGCUCCUCAAGUUUAACCUGAGUAUUCCGCGUGUGCAACUGUUUUGCACCCGUUGUAUUUGAACGUAGAGCCUAUCACACCCGAUCAUCACGUGGUGUCUCAGCACGAAGAACUUUCGCAACGGUGCAUACUCAAGGAGAACACUUAUACCUUAAUAAUUUAGUGAGAUAUCAUCUUAUAAAGCUACCAUCGAACUAAGAAAAAUAAGAUGUAUAAAAGAUAAACAUCACAUCCAAUCAAAAUAAGUGAUAUGAUAUAGCCAUCAUCAUCUUGUGCUUGUGAUCUCCAUCUCCGAAGCACCGUCAUGAUCACCAUCGUCACCGGUGCGACACCUUGAUCACCAUCGUAGCAUCGUUGUCGUCUCGCCAAUCUUAUGCUUCCAUGACUAUCGCUACCGCUUAGUGAUAAAGUAAAGCAUUACAGCGCAAUUGCAUUGCAUACAAUAAAGCGACAACCAUAUGGCUCCUGCCAGUUGCCGAUAACUCGGUUACAAAACAUGAUCAUCUCAUACAAUAAAAUUUAGCAUCAUGUCUUGACCAUAUCACAUCACAACAUGCCCUGCAAAAACAAGUUAGACGUCCUCUACUUUGUUGUUGCAAGUUUUACGUGGCUGCUACGGGCUUAGCAAGAACCGUUCUUACCUACGCAUCAAAACCACAAUGAUAGUUUGUCAAGUGGGUGUUGUUUUUACCUUCGCAAGGACCGGGCAUAGCCACACUCGGUUCAACUAAAGUUGGAGAAACUGACACCCGCCAGCCACCUGUGUGCAAAGCACGUCGGUAGAACCAGCCUCGCGUAAGCGUACGCGUAAUGUCGGUCCGGGCCGCUUCAUCCAACAAUACCGCCGAACCAAAGUAUGACAUGCUGGUAAGCAGUAUGCUUAUAUUGCCCACAAAUCACUUAUGUUCUACUCGUGCACAACAUCAACGCACACUACAAGAAAUAUGUCAACUUAUGACCUUCUGUCAGUGACCCUCGAAGAAUUGGUCAUAAAUUUAUGACCAUUUUAGACCAAUUGGUCAAAAGCUGUCUAGGGGGCUCUAAACCCUAAACCAUAACGACCAUUUUGGUCAGAAAUGUCAUAAUUUCAUUAGAGGAAAUGGUCGUAAAGCUAGUAGCACUGUCCACUGCCUCAUGCCUAGCUGAUAACGACCAAUAUAAAAUGGUCACUACACUUGAGUUUGAAUGAAUUAGGAUGAUUAGGCAGCCACCUCAGCAACCUCGCUUAUGUGUCACUAUCUAGGUGUCAUUUUUGCUUGAGUUUUAAUAUUCAACAGACAGACGGGGCACACACUGACAGGCGGGACCCAUUUGAUAGGUGGGGUCGAGCGCUUAAUUCGCCCAAAAAAGAUGCACGAGGAGGGACUCGAACCCACGACCUCGCGCUUGGUUUGCUCGCAUGCUACCGCUGGGCUAGAGAGGGACAGUUGCUCACAUCUGGGAGUUUAUCUAUACAUUAUAUAGAACUACGGCUCUCUCGUAUCAUUGACAAGUGGGACCUUUCGACCAGGUGGCAUCGAACAGAGCAACGAUUUGCAACACUGACAGGCGGGACCCAUUUGACAGGUGGGUGCGCGAGCGUUUAAUUCCCUAAAAAAUAUGCGCUAGCGGGGACUCGAACCCACGACCUCGAGAUGGGUUCGCUCGUUCGUUACUGCUGGGCUAGAGAGAGAUUGUUGCUAAUGUGUGGGUAGUUUUCCAUAUAGUAUAUAAAACCACGGAUCUCACGUAUCAGUGACAAGUGGGACCUUCCGACCAGGUGGCGGCGGGUGGCCUCAAACAGAGCAACACUUAGCGUUUUUCUAGGUCUUCCAACCAGGUGGCGGCGGGCGGCGGCGGAAGCAACCAGGUGACCUCGCCCACGGCCUCGCGGCGGAAGCAACCAGCAGGGGGCGGAGGCGGGGGCGGGGCCAGCAGCGGAGGCGGGGGCGGGGCCGGCAGGGGGCGGAGGCGAGGCAGGGCGUGGAGGCGGGGGCCAGCAGGGGCAUAGCCGACCGACGGUGGUGGGGGCUUGCCGAGCAUGGGGGACUCGCCGCCGCCGCAAGCACACCUCCCGGUAUGCACCCCUCACCUCUUCCCCCCUCUCCUCUCUCGUCACCCGAGUAGUGGGAGAUGGAUUUCAGUCAGAUGUUCUUCAGCAUAGAUGAAUUUUGUUGAUGCACUGUUAGUAGUUAGGAGAUAGCUUGCUUGUUUGGUAGAUAUUGCGUAGAUGAAUUUUCUUGAUGUACUGUUAGGAAUUGUUCAGCUUGUUUGUUAAGAAUUCUUCAGGCCUUGUGGUUAGGCAAUUAGCAUAUAAAAUUUUCUAGAAUUUUAUCUUCCAUUACUUCCAUCCAUUUUCAUUAAUUAAUGUUGAUGCACUUAGAUUGAUUUGCUAAGUUGCAACAAUUUGUUGUCUUUGGCAGAUGGAUAGAAGAUGGAUUAGAGAAGGAGUUAGAAAGUUUUCGAAAGAACAUAUGAAAGGAGUUGAUGAUUUCAUGGCAUUUGUUCGGGCAAAUUUUGCCAACGAUCCCCAUGUUGUGAAUGCCUCAACCGUCCAAGAAUGGCUCAAGGAAGAGUGGAAGAUCAUCUGCUUCUUAAUGGGAUGUCCAGCACAUAUGAUAGAUGGAUAUAUCAUGGAGAACCUUUAGACAGACAACCUCAACAUUUUGAAGCUGAUACAGAGGCCCCUCAUAUGAUGGGUGGUGGUGAUGCUGGCAUUGAUUUCAUGGAAAAGGUUUUGCGAGAUAAUACUGUUUUGGAGGAAGAGGAUGGGCAUGAAGAUGAUAGGAUUCCUGACCUAUUGAAGGAUUUGUACGAUGCUGAAGAUCGUGCUGAUGGACAGAAAUCGUUGUUUGCUGAGGUGUUAGAGGAGGCGAAGCGCGCAGCUCAUGAAGGGGGUAAAUUUUCAAGAUUUACCUUCACCGUGAAGUUACUCCACAUCAAGUAUUUCUACCGGAUUAGCAAUGCCGCAUUCAACGCAAUACUCCGUCUUUUGAGCUUGCAAUUCCCUGAUAGUUGUGUUCCCAGAUCUUAUGAUGAAGCAUUGAGCAUAAUCCGCAGGCUGGGGUUAGGUUAUGUGUCAAAACAUGUGUGCCCAAAUAAAUGUGUCUUGUUUCGGAAGGAUUUAGCAAAGCAUGACAACUGUCCAAAAUGCAAUGCAUCUAGGUGGAAAGAUGCUGAUGGGAAGAAGUCAAUACCGGAGAAGGUACUGAGGCACUUUCCCUGUACUGAGGCACUUUCCCUUGAUACCAAGGCUGCAGCAGAUGUUCAUCUCGAAGAAAUCAUCGCGUGAGGUACAGUGGCACAAGCUAAAGCGGCAACCUGUGGACAAUGAGCUGAGCCAUCCAGCGGAUGGAGAGGCAUGGAAAGAGUUUGACCGUAUACAUUUAGAUUUUGCUGCAGAUCCAAGGAACAUAAAACUUGGCAUUGCCACAGAUGGGUUUAAUCCGUUUGGGAACAUGAGCACGUCUUAUAGCAUGUGGCUAGUUUUUGUGGUGUCGUACAACCUGCCACCAUGGGCAUGCAUGGAUCAGUCCAACUUCAUGAUGUCAUUGCUUAUCCCGGGUCCAGAUUCUCCAGGAAAGGAUUUUGAUGUCUUUAUGGAGCCCCUCGUAGAAGAACCGCUCCAGCUCUGGACCGGUGUACCUACAUACGAUACCUUGAGUCUGGAAGAAAAGUUCAAUCUACGUGCUACGAUCAUAUGGCCCAUCCAUGAUUUCCCAGCUCUGCACACUCUGUCUGGGAGGAUCACAGCGGGUUAUCAGGCUUGUGUCCAUUGUGACAAAGACCCUUGCUCAAAGAGAAUAAGGAGCAAGAUCUGCUAUAUUGGGCACCGCCGCUUUCUUCACCGAAACCAUCGCUGGUGAAGAAGCAAAGAUUUUAAUGGUGAGAAUGAAACCCGUGACAAGCCAGCUGAAUUCACUAAAGAAGAGCUGGAGCAGCAACUUGAAAAGGUGAAAGAUGUGAGACCAGGAAAGCUGGCGAAGAAAAGAAAACGUGAGGAAGGUCAAUGUUGGGACCGGAGGUCUUGUUUGUGGGACCUGCCAUACUGGGCUGAUCUGAAAUUAAGGCAUAAUCUCGAUGUAAUGCACAUUGAGAAAAACAUAUGCGAGAAUCUGCUAGGGACGUUUCUGAACAUUGAAGGGAAGACAAAGGACACGGUUAGUUCUAGGCUUGAUUUGGAGGACAUGGGCAUAAGAGAAGAUUUGCAUCUACAGCACAAUGAAGAUGAAGAUUCAUUUGAAAUUCCACGAGCAUGGUAUACAAUGAAUAAAGAACAAAAGCUUGCAUUCUGUGAAUUCCUAAGAGCGGUGAAAUUUCCAAAUGGUUAUGCUGCUAACCUAGCAAAGUGUGUUACUUCUGAUGGAUUCAAGCUUUCAGUACUGAAAACCCAUGAUUGUCACAUCCUCCUCCAAAGGAUUUUACCAGCGGGCCUCCGAGGAAUCAUGCACAAGGAUAUAUAUAUGAAGCGGUUGCUGAGCUGGGAAAUUUCUUUAGAGAACUGUGCUGCAAAACCCUCAAGUUAACUGUCCUCGAAAGACUUGAAAAAGAAAUCCCAAUUAUUCUUUGCAAGCUCGAGAAGAUUUUCCCUCCAGCUUUCUUCACCGUGAUGGUCCAUUUGGCGGUGCACUUACCCAAAGAGGCAAUGCUUAGAGGCCCUGUGCAAUAUGGUUGGAUGUACCCAAUCGAAAGAAGGCUGCUUACUUGUAGGCAUUAUGUGCGAAACACGGCAAGACCUGAAGGUUCUAUUGCUGAAGCAUAUGUCGUUGACGAGUGCUUGACUUUUUGCUCUAGAUACUUUGGUGAUGUGGAAACAAGAUGGAACCGGCCGGGCAGAAAUAGAGAGCGGUCUGAUUCACAAAGUGGUGAUGUCUCUGUUUUCAACCAUGGUGUGAACUUUCUUGGAGCCUCACAAUACUUGGAGGCUGGUGAUGAGUAUGACAAGAUGGUUUUGUUUGUGCUCAGCAAUUGCGCCGAGGUUCUACCAUAUAUCGAGUACGUUGUAUCUUGUGCACUCAUUAUAUAUAUUUUUUUGCUUGGGUUGGCACCAGCCUAAUGUUUUAAUUCACAUGUUUUGUUGGCAUUGCAGGAAAUGCAAGGAAGAGUUAUAUCAGGAAGAAAGCAAUAUCAAUGUUGAUAAAAGGGUUGCCAAGGGGUUUGCUAAGUGGUUUAAGAAUCAUGUGAGAUCUUUAGACACAUGUUUUAUGUUUUCUGUGUUAUUCACCCAUUGUUAAAUACCAUUGUUUGCUAAAUGGUUUAUUUGUGCAGAUUGGAAAGUUGCAUGAGGAGAAGAAGGUCAGUGAUGAUCUAUUUGCUUUGGCAUGCUUACCGGAUAAGCGAGUGAGAGUGUAUUCAGCAUGCAUUGCUGACAGUGUCCGGUACCACACUGUUGACCGCGAGGAAAAAAGGAAGACACAGAAUAGUGGAAUCGUCACUGAGGGGUCACAUGAUGGUGAGAUCAUUGACUUCUAUGGUCAGUUGAGAAGCAUCGUAGAGUUGCAGUACAACUCUAUGGAGGCAUCCAUCACUCGGUUGUCUUAUUUCGCUGUGACUGGUUUGAGCUUGGUAGCAAGAAGAGGAGAGACUCUUUUGUCAAAUAUGAUGGCCACUUCAAAAGCAUCAACACUGCAAGGUGCUGGUAUAAGAGUGAUCCCUUUAUUCUAACAACACAAGCACAAUGGUGUUUUAUCUACCAGACACUCUUUUGCACGGAAAAUGGCGAGUUGUGCAAAACUUUCGGCACGGACACUUGUGGAGUGUGACUGAAACUGAAGUGGAAAAGGGCCUUGGUGAUGGUGGACUAACAUACCAAGAUGAUGACUCUACGGAAGUUCCGUUGCAAGCUGAUGAUGACUCUAUGGAAGUUCCGGUGCAAAGCAGAGUGCGAAGGGACCGGGAACGUGUGAUCGUUGGUGCUACAACAGUUGAAGGCAUCAAGAAAAGAAGAAAGGUGGUAGAGGAUGGACAUGAAAGCGAGGAUGAGGAAAACCGGACUGAUCAUACUAUGCUGCAAUAUUGUAGUGAUGAUGAGGAAAACAGGAGUGGGCAUAGAGUUCCUUGUUUUUGUAUCAACGACGAUGAGUAGCGAAUGGACAUGAAGGUAAAUUUGGUCUCCUUGGUGAUCCUUUUAACUCUUUGUAGUUUUCCUUCUUGUGCAUAUGCAUGGUGAUCCUGAUGUACUACAAUUAUCUCGAGGUAGCAAAAUGCUUGAAAAUCCUGAUGGCUGUAGUGGUGUGAUCCUGAUGGCUGUAGUGGUGUGGUCUUAUAGCAUGGAGCUGAUGGCAAAAUGAAGUUGUGCUCAGAAUGUUGUCAAAAUGUUGUCUUGUAAUGCAAAAGAUAGCAAAAUGAUCAUUUAGAUAUUGGUGAUCAUUUAGUUCAAGUUUUGGUGAUCAUACAAAAUGUUGUCUAGUAGUUUUUGUGAUCAUGUAGUAGUUUUUUUGAACUGAAGUGGAUGAUGUCUGGUUUUGCUUCAACCGAAUUUUGCACUAUUUUAACUGAAUUUUGCUUCAACUGAACCCAUUUCAUUGUGAGCAGAAAGAUAUGCGCCAUCGGGGACUCGAACCCACGACCAUACGCUUGUUUCACUAUGUUUCUACCACUGGGCUAGGAGGAGGCUGUUGGUUUUGUACUCUAUGCCAACCCUUUUGACUAUAUCAAACUAGUCAAGUAUCAAGCACACACCUCACUGACAAGUGGGCCACUCGACCCACUCAUUGACAAGUGGGCCAUUUUGCUAUUAUACCAAAGCUACCAAAAAUAUGUGCGUGGCCAAAAAAUAUGCGCGCGGGGGGGCUCGAACCCACGACCGUGCGCUUAGUUCACUUGGUUUCUACCACUGGGCUAGGAAGAGGUUGUUGGUUUUGUACUCUAUGCCCACCCUUUUCAAUAUAUCAAACAACUCGCUGACAAUUGGGCCCGCUCCUCCUCCUAUCCACUAUUUUCCCCACUCCCCCUCUCCACUCCUCCUAUCCACUCGACCCGCUCCACCUCUCCGCCGCCACCGGCUUCUUCCUCUCCCACCGCCGCCGCCAGCUUCUUUCUCUCCGUCGCCGACUCUCCGUCGCCGUGGGUAUGAAUCCGCUUCCUCUUACUCUUCCUAUCUACUGUUAUGAUAGAUUAGGGUUCUUGCCACCGGAUUAGGGUUUGAUUAGGAUGUUUUUUAGGGUGAAGGUGACNNNNNNNNNNNNNNNNNNNNNNNNNNNNNNNNNNNNNNNNNNNNNNNNNNNNNNNNNNNNNNNNNNNNNNNNNNNNNNNNNNNNNNNNNNNNNNNNNNNNNNNNNNNNNNNNNNNNNNNNNNNNNNNNNNNNNNNNNNNNNNNNNNNNNNNNNNNNNNNNNNNNNNNNNNNNNNNNNNNNNNNNNNNNNNNNNNNNNNNNNNNNNNNNNNNNNNNNNNNNNNNNNNNNNNNNNNNNNNNNNNNNNNNNNNNNNNNNNNNNNNNNNNNNNNGCCUCUGCUGGUUCGACGCCUCCCGCGCGGCUUGCCCUAUGCCGCCGGCGACCACUUCUUCUCGGACUCCGCCACGGUAAGCCAUCCGCUUCAUAUCCUCUCUCCUUUCUCUUCUGCUCUAGGGUUUGAGAAUCUAGGAUUUGUUAUGCAUACUAGGCAUCUAUUGGUGGAUUUAGGCAUAUUGUUCUUGGUGGAUUUAGUAUGCUCUGUUGGUGGAUCUAGUGUGGUUGAAUUGCUGUUUGAUUACUAUGUUGUUGCUGUUGGUAGUCACCUGACAGCAAUUAACUGUUGCUGUGGUAGGUAGUGUGAUAGACAUGUUGUUCUGUUGCUGUUGAAUUCUGUGGUUAAUUAACUGAAUUAACUGAAUUCUGUUGUUGUUGAAUUCUAUGGUGAACAUGCUGUUACUGUUGCCAGAACAUGCUGUUGAAUUUUGUUGCUGUUGAAUUCUGUGGUUGAACAUGCUGUUGUGGUUAUUCUUGUUGACAAGUCUUGUGCUGCAAUGGGAUUCAUGCAUAUGCAGGUGUAGUGACCGGCAUGAAUAUGGGCAGAGUAGUAGCAGUAGUAGAUGCCAACAUUUGAUAUGCAUGCAUGCAUUCUUGCUUGUUUAUAUUCUUUUAAAUUGAACAUGCUCAAGUAUGGAAACAUUACAUUCUUCUUCUACUCAUUGCCCCUUUGCCAAGAUAGAGUAGGAGAAAAUUGAGGCCAUUGCCAUUUAUAGUAGUAUUCCAAAUUGAGGCCCUGGCAAACACAUGUAGUAAUUAUUCUAUUGUUUUGAUUUAUAAUGCUGCUUGUUUCCUAUUUCUGUCCAGUCAUGUUGUUUAAUUUACUAUUGCUUGUUUCCUAUUGCUUGUUUAGAGUAGAAGUGAGAUGGCUGGCUUGGAAGGUUUCGAGUUCUACGAGAUUGUAAUUGAGAAAUCUUGCAGUAGGCAGGUAUAUUUAUCAUCACUCAUUUCUUUAUCAUCACUCUGCUGUCUAGUGCUUGAUUGCCACAAUUAACCACUGCUUGACCCUUGCUGCAGAGGCUGCCUGACAAGUUUGCGAAGAUGCUCGCCGGCCGUGAGCCCCACAAAGUGAAGCUGCGGGAGGCCGGCAGCGGGCUUCACGGGCUGUGGGAAGUGUUGGUGGUGUUUGAUGGUGAAGGCCACAUGUACCUAGGGCCCGGCUGGGAGCAUUUCGCCCGCGCCCAUGAGCUACAGCUCGGGUACUUCCUUGUCUUCCGCUACGACGGCGACGCCAUGUUCACCGUGAAGAUGUUCGACAACACCAUGUGCCGCAUGUACUACCAGCACGAUGACGAUGCCAGUAAGCUCUCUGCCUCUCUUCUUCCUGUCCUUUUGGAUUCCUCUACCUGCACGACGACAAAACCAUGUUCACACUUUGUUGCAUUUGGCCAGGCAAUGGGAGCAGCAGCGGGGAUGACGAGGAGCAGAGUGGGGAUGAUGACGAGGAGCAGAGCGGGGAUGACGAGGAGCAGAGCGGGGAUGACGAGGAGCAGCCUAUUCUGGCUGACGACGAACAUGCUAUGGUGGUGGCUGACGACAACCCUGCUAUGGUUGUGGCGGAUGACGACCUUACUAUGGUGGUGGCGGACGACGACCUUGCUAUGGUGGUGGCGGACGACGACCUCACGAUGGUGGUGGCGGACGACGACCUUGCUAUGGUGGUGGCGGACGACGACCUCGCGAUGGUGGCGGCGCUUGCAAUCCCAUAGCUUGGCGACAGGACCAUGCCAAUUGUGGUAGAGGAGUACAUCCGCGUUGGGAUUCGCCACUCUGAGCGCAUCAGGUUGAUGAAGGAGAAGAAGGAGGAGUGAAGAUGUUAAGAAGGUGUUCAGGAUGUUAGGUUUAAGCUUGUUAGUGUAAUAUGAACAUGUCAAUGUUAAGUAUGUCAGGUUUAAUUUUGUGCAUGCUCAUGGAUGUUGUAUGACAGUGUCAUCUAAACAAGUCAUGUUUUUAACAAUGAAUAUUCAGUUUGGUAAUUGAUGGGAAUUGAAAUUUUGUAUGCAUGCUCAUGGAUGAAAGAUAAAAUUAUGGGUUUUGUGCAUGCUCAUGUAUGAAACAAUAUAAGUUUCAUUUUUUGAAUGCUAAAAACAUGACUCAAACCCUAGCCACGGACGACCGCCGUGACUAAAUCCGCCGUUUUUUGAAAACACCAUAAAAAUCAGAAACCGUUUUUCAUUUUUUGAAUGCAAAAGACAUGCGUUUUUCGUGAAGCGGCUACAAGGAGGGGAACCCAAAAUGGCGCCAUUCCAUGUCUAUCUCAAAGUAGACCCUAUUUUAUGGACGGUCGCCAAAAAGCAUGCAUUUCCGACCCUCAUAGCUACUCCCAGCAAUUCGGACCACCUUCGGCCGAUUCAGCUGGAACCGGUUGGAAUUUGAACUGCGGGUCCUCCAUAGCUUGCCCGUUAUUUUCACUAAAAAUGCUUUUUAGCUUCACAGGUAGGCAUUUCAUCACAGAAUCGACAAUAGAUUUGCACGGCUUAAACCCUAGCCACGGACGGUCGCGGCAACGAAAUCGGACGGUUUUUGAAAACACCGUAAAAAAUCAAAAAAAUCAAAAAAAUGGGAGACCUCCGCGUCACAUCAUCAAAUGUGGCCUACCAACUAGCAAAAAUACUAAACUUGCAAUACCGGCGUUUUCUUGAAAAAGUGUUCUCAAAAACGACCUACCAUGAACGAAGAUUCAUCGCUUUCAAGCCAAACUAGCAAUGAUAUGGCCGAAUCCGUUGAAUAGUUUCUGAUAAUAUGCCCAAAUUGGGCGCAUUCCUCCGUCUUGUGAUGGCAAACAAUGUUGCCAAAGCGAGGUUCCAACUUGUUUAACAAAAAAACCGUUUUUCAUUUUUUGAAUGCAAAAGACAUGCGUUUUUCGUGAAGCAGCUACAAGGAGGGGCACCCCAAACGGCGCCAUUCCAUGUCUAUCUCAAAGUAGACCCUAUUUUACGGACGGUCGCCAAAAAGCAUGCAUUUCCGACCCUCGUAGCUACUCCCGGCAAUUCGGACCACCUUCGGCCGAUUCAGCUGGAACCGGCUGGAAUUUGAACUGCAGGUCGUCCAUAGCUUGCCCGUUAUUUUCACUAAAAAUGCUUUUUAGCUUCACAGGUAGGCAUUUCAUCACAGAAUCGACAACAGAUUUGCACGGCUCAAACCCUAGCCACGAACGGCCGCUGCGAUGAAAUCGGCCAGUUUUUCAAAACACCGUAAAAAAUUCAAACAAAAUCAAAAAAAUGGGAGACCUCCGCGUCACAUCAUCAAAUGUGGCCUACCAACUAGCAAAAAUACUAAACUUGCAAUACCGGCGUUUUCUUGAAAAAGUGUUCUCAAAAACGACCUACCAUGAACAAAGAUUCAUGGCUUUCAAGCCAAACUAGCAAUGAUAUGGCCGCAUCUGUUGAAUAGUUUCUGAUAAUAUGCCCAAAUUGGGUGCAUGCCUCCGUCUUGUGAUGGCAAACAAUGUUGCCAAAGUGAGGUUCCAAGUUGUUUAACAAAAAAACCGUUUUUCAUUUUUUGAAUGCAAAAGACAUGCGUUUUUCGUGAAGUGGCUACAAGGAGGGGCACCCCAAACGGCGCCAUUCCAUGUCUAUCUCAAAGUAGACCCUAUUUUACGGACGGUCGCCAAAAAGCAUGCAUUUCCGACCCUCGUAGCUACUCCCGGCAAUUCGGACCACCUUCGGCCGAUUCAGCUAGAACCGGCUGGAAUUUGAACUGCGGGUCCUCCAUAGCUUGCCCGUUAUUUUCACUAAAAAUGCUUUUUAGCUUCACAGGUAGGCAUUUCAUCACAGAAUCGACAACAGAUUUGCACGGCUCAAACCCUAGCCACGGACGGCCGCCGCGACGAAAUCGGCCGGUUUUUGAAAUCACCGUAAAAAAUUCAAAAAAAAAUCAAAAAAAUGGGAGACCUCCGCGUCACAUCAUCAAAUGUGGCCUACCAACUAGAAAAAAUACUAAACUUGCAAUACCGGCGUUUUCUUGAAAAAGUGUUCUCAAAAACGACCUACCAUGAACAAAGAUUCAUGGCUUUCAAGCCAAACUAACAAUGAUAUGGCUGCAUCCGUUGAAUAGUUUCUGAUAAUAUGCCCAAAUUGGGCGCAUGCCUCCGUCUUGUGAUGGCAAACAAUGUUGCCAAAGCGAGGUUCCAAGUUUUUUAACAAAAAAACCGUUUUUCAUUUUUUGAAUGCAAAAGACAUGCGUUUUUGUGAAGCGGCUACAAGGAGGGGCACCCCAAACGGCGCCAUUCCAUGUCUAUCUCAAAGUAGACCCUAUUUUACGGACGGUCGCCAAAAAGCAUGCAUUUCCGACCCUCGUAGCUACUCCCGGCAAUUCGGACCACCUUCGGCCGAUUCAGCUGGAACCGGCUGGAAUUUGAACUGCGGGUCAUCCAUAGCUUGCCCGUUAUUUUCACUAAAAAUGCUUUUUAGCUUCACAGGUAGGCAUUUCAUCAUAGAAUCGACAACAGAUUUGCACGGCUCAAACCCUAGCCACGGACGGCCGCCGCGAUGAAAUUGUCCGGUUUUUCAAAACACCGUAAAAAAUUCAAAAAAUCAAAAAAAUGGGAGACCUCUGCGUGACAUCAUCAAAUGUGGCCUACCAACUAGCAAAAAUACUAAACUUGCAAUACCGGCGUUUUCUUGAAAAAGUGUUCUCAAAAACGACCUACCAUGAACAAAGAUUCAUGGCUUUCAAGCCAAACUAGCAAUGAUAUGGCCGCAUCCGUUGAAUAGUUUCUGAUAAUAUGCCCAAAUUGGGCGCAUGCCUCCGUCUUGUGAUGGCAAACAAUGUUGCCAAAGCGAGGUUCCAAGUUUUUUAACAAAAAAACCGUUUUUCAUUUUUUGAAUGCAAAAGACAUGCGUUUUUCGUGAAGCGGCUACAAGGAGGGGCACCCCAAACGGCGCCAUUCCAUGUCUAUCUCAAAGUAGACCCUGUUUUACGGACGGUCGCCAAAAAGCAUGCAUUUCCGACCCUCGUAGCUACUCCCGGCAAUUCGGACCACCUUCGGCCGAUUCAGCUGGAACCGGCUGGAAUUUGAACUGCGGGUCCUCCAUAGCUUGCCCGUUAUUUUCACUAAAAAUGCUUUUUAGCUUCAUAGGUAGGCAUUUCAUCACAGAAUCGAUAACAAAUUUGCAUGGCUCAAACCCUAGCCACGGACGGCCGCCGUGACGAAAUCGGCCGGUUUUUGAAAACACCAUAAAAAAUUGAAAAAAAAUAUCAAAAAGAUGGGAGACCUCCGCGUCACAUCAUCAAAUGUGGCCUACCAACUAGCAAAAAUGCUAAACUUGCAAUACCGGCGUUUUCUUCAGCUACUCGGUAUGAUUUUAUCCUUGAUUUCUACAAAAUUUACAAAAAAACCCUAUUUUUUUCUACACCCAAACCCAAAAGGAUUUCCCUCCCACACCAAAAUUUUCCCUCCACCAAAAUUUCCCUCUCCCAAAAUUUCCCUCCUCUCCCUCUCCCACUACCAGGCGGGACCCACCACUCCCUCUCCCACUAACACGCGGGAUCCCCUCCCUUCCCUCCUAAAAUUACCCCAUNNNNNNNNNNNNNNNNNNNNNNNNNNNNNNNNNNNNNNNNNNNNNNNNNNNNNNNNNNNNNNNNNNNNNNNNNNNNNNNNNNNNNNNNNNNNNNNNNNNNNNNNNNNNNNNNNNNNNNNNNNNNNNNNNNNNNNNNNNNNNNNNNNNNNNNNNNNNNNNNNNNNNNNNNNNNNNNNNNNNNNNNNNNNNNNNNNNNNNNNNNNNNNNNNNNNNNNNNNNNNNNNNNNNNNNNNNNNNNNNNNNNNNNNNNNNNNNNNNNNNNNNNNNNNNNNNNNNNNNNNNNNNNNNNNNNNNNNNNNNNNNNNNNNNNNNNNNNNNNNNNNNNNNNNNNNNNNNNNNNNNNNNNNNNNNNNNNACGGCAGCUACAUCGACGAUGGCGCGAUCGACGACGACCACCGCUGCAUCGUCAACAUCAUCUCCCCCUAGGUACUUCUCCCCUCCUCUGGUGGAUCCAUCUCCCCUUCUCUGGUGGAUCCACCUCCCCUCUGGUCGAUCCAUCUCCCCUCUGGUAGAUCCCCUCAUGGGUUAGGAUUUUCUAGGGUUAGGAUCUCCUGUUGGUUCGGUAGGUCCUUGUUCUUGGGGUUAGGGUUCAUUUUAAUUGUUGUGUGGGGAUGAUCCCCCUCUAGUUCAUGGGGUUAGGGUUAGGGUUCAUGGGGCCAGGGUUAGGGUUCAUGGGGUUCAUGGGGUUAGGGUUCAUGGGGUUAGGACCUCCUGGUGGUUCAUUUGGUUCUAAUUGAUUCUAAUUGUCAAAAUGUCUUAACUUGUGUCAUCUAGGCUGUAGCCAUUUUUGGUGUGUAGAGGCAGCAUAAUCAAUAGUUGAGUAUAGUUUUUUCAUCUACUUUUGUACUACUGCAAGUAUAGUUGUUUCAUGCUUUACCAGUGGCAACAUCUAGUUGUUUUGAAGGUCCUCAUGAUAUACUCGUCUAGCUUGCUGUCAGACUGUCUAAGCAUGUGUACAUGACACCAAUUCACUAGUUCAUGUUGCUUGCUUGCUAGCAUACAUGUUGCUUGCUGGCAUACAUGCUUAAUUAGGGUUUCCAUCAGCAUUACUUGCUUGUAUCACUAGCACUUGAAGAAGAAUCUACUCGCUUGCUUAUUAAUUAGGGUUUGUAUCAAUAGUACUUGCUUCCUUCUCUUCAUUUUCCUUCAUUCCUUGCUUGUUUCUAUCAGUAGCACUUUGCUUGCUUGCUUCUAUCAGUAGCACUUUGCUUGCUUGCUUGUAUUAGUAGCACUUAUGUACUUUGCUUGCUUGCUACUAGUGUACAUGCAUGCUUGUUUAGUGCACUUACAUGUUUUCUUAAUUAAUAACACUAGAUCACUGUAUUGUUGAUCCAUCAAGUUUGUUUCACAUGUAUUACAUGUAUGUGCAUGAUGGUCCAAAUGCUUUCCUUUAUUGAUACAAGUGCAUCAUUUUACUUUAUCCCUGUUGUAUCUGAUUGUUGUUUAUUCUAUUUUGCAAGCACCACGUCAAGAUCAUCCAUGGCAAGGAUGACAAGGUCAAGCAUGAGGCCAACCGUUGGUAUGAAACUUGCUCCUUGUGGUUAUACUGUCAGUUUCAUAAAAUAUGUGUCUUAAUAUGCUAAGUGAAAUGUAUUGCUGCAAUCUGAAUAAGCUGGCUUAAUUGUGCCUGUGUGCUGUUAGUCUUCCUUACCUGAAUAACUAGGAUUAAAUGAUAAUAAAAUUUCAUAAGAUAUAUGUUUGGCUGCCUGUCCAUGCAUUCCAAACAUUCACCUAAUAGUUACGUUUCCUUUAUCAUGCAAAGAAGAGCCUCUCACCGAGUACGAGAAGGUUAGGACUAGAAAUAUCAUGAGGAACAAUUGGAUGUUCCAGUCCCUUAGCAUCAGUGCAAUAGCGUCGAUGAUUAGGAAAACAAAUGGUGUAUAAGAAGGUAGAAGUGAUGAGGUUCAAGAGGGUAGUGGAGUUAUCAAUGAUGACCCAGAGUACAAUCCUAAGGAGGAUGAAGUUAUUGAUGGAGAGGAAGUGGAUGAUGUUGUACUGAACAAGAUUGUUAAGGUGCAAACUCUGUCUUGCUUGGAGGGUUGGGGUUCUGUUAUUCUAUGUUAUUCCUUGUGCUCACAUAUUUCUCUUGUGAUCUAAUGCUUUUUCCCGUGCUAUUUAUAUGAGGCACUGAAGGAAUCUAGGACGAAGAGGCCUGGUGUUAAGAAGACAGUCAGCAAGAAGAACAAGAGCUCAGAAACAUCUGCUGCAAUGCCUCCGGGAAGGGUGAUGGCCCCAGCUCCAGGACAAAAAAGAGGAUCCUGGAACCUGGUGGACCUGCCCUUGGUAGAGUCACAAGGCAGAAAGCAAGGAUGGCGACUGCGACGGACCAUCAGGAAAGUAUGCUGCACAUGGACUCUCAGACCUCGGUGCAAAUGGGUGAUGAGUUGCCGCCCAUGGAUGAAGGAACCACUCUCAGCAUGGAUGGAAGUGGCACUGUCUGCCUAGAUGAAGCAGGAACCAUCUGCAUUGAUGAAGCAGGCACUGUCCACACAGACCUCAGCCCUGUUGCACCUUCUAUUGACAGGAACGUUGUCAUCAAUGAAGAAGAACAGCAGCUUGUGCUUCAAUCAGGCAAGUUGACCUUUGCAAUGCUAUCUUUUACUAGUGCAUUUUCCAAAUAGAAUGAUCAUGUAUGCUUUUGUCGAUUCCUGCAUUUGUCGAUUUCUAUUCUAAUUUAUGAGUUCAGUUUCAUUUUCAGAUGCAAUGACUCCCAAGACUAGACUUAGAAAGGGCAAAGGGCUAGAGAGGAUCACCAAGUCGCUUGGUAGCAAGGUGCCUAUCCAAAUUGCCGAAGGGAUGAUGCAUCCAGAGAAGCCUCUGCAGGCAGCAAAGCUUGCUUCUAAGUGUGGACUCGUUGCAAAAAGCCAUCUUCCGGUUCUUCCUCACUUCAAGCUAUACAAAAAAAUGCUAGUCUAUUGGAGAACUACAUUGGGAAAGAUGCUGUAAGCUACUUGUUUCAUAGUUAAUGUGCUAUCUAUUUUCUGUUACACCUAUGCAUGAUCACUAAUAUUGUUCCUACCUUGUUUGCUAUCUUGGUAGGCAAAUUUUGAGAUGAACACGGACUCGGAGACCAUCAAGACUGCAUGGAAAGAUAUUCUACAGAAAUAUUCAAAGAACAGAUGCCAUCAGAUCAAGAAGAAGUAUUUUGAUACCGUAGCCACAAAUAAAGUCAGCAUUAAGUCUCCGGUGCCUGAUCUAACGGAUGGUGAAUGGUAAGCUCUGGUGGAGAUGUGGUCUACCCCAAGACACAAGGUUUGUCUCUGCUUUGUUUGAUGCUUUAUGUUCUGCACAUGAUAUGCUAGUGCUAGAUCAUGCUGACAGUAUGCUUUUUUGUAGGAAACCUAUGUGUCGAACAAGAUGAAUCGAGAAAAAGUCGUGUACAAUCACAGAACUGGUUCCAGGCACUACACAGAACACAUUUUUGCCACUGUGAGAACUCUUCUCUAGAGACCUUACCAUUUGAUCCUCAUUGAAUAACAUUUCUGAUUCUUGCUGAAUAACAUUUUGAUUUUUGUUGAAAAACAUUUCAGAAAGAAGAGCGUAAGGGUGAGGAGCUGUCUACGAUUGACUUGUUUAAGGCCACCCACAACAGCAAGAAGCACGGGUUUUUGGAGCCAGUCAAGACUGCUAUAGUAAGUCACUCCAUGCUUUGCCCUGUUUGAUUCACAGCCAGCUUUAAUGCUUUGAUGAUUUGAUGUUGUUUGAUUCGGAGCCAGUCAAGAACACACGCUAUGUUCCAUGCUUUGAUGUUGUUUGAUAGUUCAACAAAGAUAUCAGAACUUGCUGUAGCUAUUUGAUGCAUUUUUUAUGAUAUGAUGAUAUUUGAUCUGAAUGUUAGUUUGAUGAUCGGCUCACUCGGGAAGCCAUCUUAUAUAGAACCACCAUUCUAGGCUUAAUGAAGUGAUCAUAUUGUUCCAAUUGCAUGUCUCCAGGUCACUAGUCAUCAUCUUCUUGUAUAGAUUUUGUGUGCUGGUUUGGUUACUUCAAAUAAUCCAUUUGUGUGCUGGUUUGGUUUCUCUUGCUUGGUUUGGUUUGCAAAAUGUGAAAUAGAUCUCCCACUAAUGCCUAUCAUUUUCCUCCAUAUGCUAGCUUGAGAUGGAAAAAAUGAAGGACGCUUCGGUACCAGAAGGUGAAGAGCCAAAGUCUGCUGUUGAAAUUGUCGAACAAGUCCUCAAGACCGAAGUCAAGCAAAGCACAUUCCUCAGGAAUGUUGGGCUCCAGUCAUCUAGGAACAACUCUGGCAAAGCAACUGCUGAAGUGGCCGCUCAUGUUCGUGACCUUGAGCAGAAGCUGGAGAGGUCUGAGCUUCAAGCUGAAGUGAUGCAAGAAGAAUUGGCGGCAAUCAAGAUGAAGGCGGAAGAAUCUGAAGCUGCACGCAACAAGGAACUUGAGCUGCUGCGCAAGAAGUCUCAAGAGCAGGAAGAGCAGUUAGCCCACUUGAUGGCUCUCUUUGGAGCUAAGGCAGUUUGAUGGUCUUUGAACCUGCUGUGCAGUUUGUCUUUGAACUUGAUGUGAAGUUAUGUCGUAGUAGGUCGUGAACUUAUGUGGAUCUGGUAGUGUUUUGCAUUUGGUAGUGUUUGUUGCAUUUUGCACUUGGUAGUGUUUUGCAUCUGGUAGUGUUUUGCACCUGGCUGUUUUAUGCCUUGUGGAUCACUUGUGGAUCUUGUGAACCUGGGUCUGUUUAUAGUUAUGUGGAUCUUGUGAACCUUGGCUUGUGGAUCAUUUUCUGAAGUCAUGCAAAAUAUGAACCUGGGCUCUAAAAAGGCCGAGGCCCAAACAAGAAUUAGACCAAAAAGGCUUGGGCCUAAAAAAAGAAAUGACUGUAGGAAAAAAAAUUACAAAAGGCUGCAUAACACAAAAUAAAAAGGCCAAGGCCCAAAUUCGAACUAGACUAAAAAGGUUGUGGCCCAAAACAAUAGUGGAAUAUAAAAAAUUCAUCAGAAAAAGGCUCCAUUCCCAGAAAAUAAAAGGCCAAAUUAUUGGGCCAGGCCCAUGCAGAUAAGCAAAAUAAAGAGAGAAAAAUUAAAUGGGCUGAAUUAUUGGGCUUGGCCCAUCAAGACAGCUAAAAUGGACCGGGCUGAUUCUAUUUUACAAUCUUUUCAUUUGGUCGUAAUUCUGCCACGUCAGCUUGCCACGGUGGAUCUGACGUGGUGUGGUCGGAUUGCUAGUGACCAAAACAAUUGGUCGUUAAAUCUACGACCUUUUUUUUGGUCAUAAACGUUUACGACCAUUCCAGAAGAAAGGUCGCUAAUGUCAGUUUAUGACGGCCAGCUUUUGACCUUAUGUUUUUGGUCACAAAAAGGUCACAAAUGGAAAUUUGUGACCAUUCAGUGACCAAUAGUGGUGGUCACAAGUUGACAUAUUUCUUGUAGUGGCAUAAAACCUAGGCUCGGAUGCCACUGUUGGGGAACAUAGUAAUUUCAAAAAUUUCCUACGCACACGCAAGAUCAUGGUGAUGCAUAGCAACGAGAGGGGAGAAUGUUGUCUACAUACCCUCGUAGACCGGAAGCGGAAGCGUUAGCACAACGCGGUUGAUGUAGUCGUACGUCUUCACGGCUCGACCGAUCAAGCACCGAAACUAUGGCACCUCCGAGUUCUAGCACAUGUUCAGCUCGAUGACGAUCCCCGGACUCCGAUCCAGCAGAAUGUUGGGGAAGAGUUCCGUCAGCACGACGGCGUGGUGACGAUCUUGAUGUUCUACCGUCGCAGGGCUUCGCCUAAGCACUGCUACAAUAUUAUUGAGGAUUAUGGUGGAGGAGGGCACCGCACACGGCUAAUAGAUCUCAAUGAUCAAUUAUUGUGUGUUUGGGGUGCCCCCUUGCACCCGUAUAUAAAGGAGCAAGGGAGGAGGAGGCCGGCCCUAGGAGGGGGCGCGCCAAGUGUGGAGUCCUACUAGGACUCCCUAGUCCUAGUAGGAUUCCACCUCCCAUAUGGAAUAGGAAAAGAGGAAGGGAAAAGGAGAAGGAAGGAAGGGGGCGCCCCCCUUCCCUAGUCCAAUUCGGACCAGACCAAGGGGAGGGGUGCGGCCACCCUUGAGGCCCUUUUCCUUCUUUCCCGUAUGGCCCAAUAAGGCCCAAUACGUAUUCCCGUAACUCUCUGGUACUCCGAAAAAUACCCGAAUCACUCAGAACCUUUCCGAUGUCUGAAUAUAGUCGUCCAAUAUAUCGAUCUUUACGUCUUGACCAUUUCGAGACUCCUCGUCAUGUCCCCGAUCUCAUCCGGGACUCCGAACUCCUUCGGUACAUCAAAAAUCAUAAACUCAUAAUAUAACUGUCAUCGAAACCUUAAGCGUGCGGACCCUACGGGUUCGAGAACAAUGUAGACAUGACCGAGACACGUCUCCGGUCAAUAACCAAUAGUGGAACCUGGAUGCUCAUAUUGGCUCCCACAUAUUCUACGAAGAUCUUUAUCGGUCAAACCGCAUAACAACAUACGUUGUUCCCUUUGUCAUCAGUAUGUUACUUGCCUGAGAUUCGAUCGUCGGUAUCUCAAUACCUAGUUCAAUCUCGUUACCGGCAAGCCUCUUUACUCGUUUCGCAAUACAUCAUCCUGCAACUAACUCAUUAGUUGCAAUGCUUGCAAGGCUUAAGUGAUGUGCAUUACCGAGAGGGCCCAGAGAUACCUCUCCGACAAUCGGAGUGACAAAUCCUAAUCUUGAAAUAUGCCAACCCAACAAGUACCUUCGGAGACACCUGUAGAGCACCUUUAUAAUCACCCAGAUACGUUGUGACGUUUGGUGGCACACAAAGUGUUCCUCUGGUAAACGGGAGUUGCAUAAUCUCAUAGUCAUAGGAACAUGUAUAAGUCAUGAAGAAAGCAAUAGCAACAAACUAAACGAUCAAGUGCUAUGCUAACGAAAUGGGUCAAGUCAAUCACAUCAUUCUCCUAAUGAUGUGAUCUCGUUAAUCAAAUGACAACUCAUGUCUAUGGUUAGGAAACAUAACCAUCUUUGAUCAACGAGCUAGUCAAGUAGAGGCAUACUAGUGACACUCUGUUUGUAUAUGUAUUCACACAUGCAUUAUGUUUCCGGUUAAUACAAUUCUAGCAUGAAUAAUAAACAUUUAUCAUGAUAUAAGGAAAUAAAUAAUAGGUUUAUUAUUGCCUCUAGGGCAUAUUUCCUUCACAAAUAACAAAGUUCUAGAUCGAUGUGAAAGAGUGGUCGGCCCUGUAUUUGUUUCAAUAGAGAAAUGAGAACAUACCUAAGCUUGUAGUAAUUCUACGUCUGAGGAGACCAGUAGGUAUAGAUAAUAUAUGCAUAACUUCCUGCGUACGGGGAAGCUCUUCUAGGAGUGUUCUCUAUUGGUAGUGCCUCCCUGGCCGCCCCUGCCCUCAUAGGCACGUGAGAUCUGGGUGUAGACACAUGGUAGUUACCGCCUUGGUGGCUUGGAUUAAGUGUGGGGGGGGCUAGUAACUUGGCGGAGCUAGCAGUCUUGCCCUGUGUGUUCUCCCUUCUCCUUUCAAAGUGGUGACGCCACUUGUAACAGUUACAUGAUCCAUGUCGAUUCAUAAUGUCAUUGUUUCUCACCCACUCCUCAUGAUAUUUGGGGUCGUAAGGAACAACUUUUCCAUCUAUAAAUGGUUCACCUGAAAUACAAAAAGACAUACACCCAGAUCUCCUUACCAUAUGGACAUAGAUGAAACCGAAAAUAGUGCACAAUCCUAAAUCAUCCAGGGGAAGAGUAAGACAAUAGAUUAAAACAAGUUAAAGAUGCCAUCUCAAGAAGUCAAGGGACUCAGAAGGCCAAAACAGAAUGACAAAAAACACUUGAUCUAUAUGCCAAUACAAAAAGAGCGAGUUACGGAGAUUCAACAAAUCUCACUCGUUCACUAUACAACCCAGACCAAUGGUCUCGGUCGCUCUAAUAUUUAGCGUUAAACAUGUUUAGCACUAAAUAUGUUUAGCACCCUUCUCUAAUUACUAUCAUGCCUAAUAUGAACGUGAGCAUUAACCAAGAAACUUUAUCCUACUUAAUAUUAACAUACAAUUUAUAUCUUGCAUAAUACUAAUGUGCAAUACAAUUAAUAUUGUGCCAAAUAUUGCACAAUUACUAUUAUGAUAAGAGCAUACACAAUCGGACCCCUCAAUAAACCUUCCCCAAACCUCUGGGCGGAUAACUCGGUCACUGCCCGGUCGAUCACAACAGAUUAAAACAAGUUAAAGCUCCCAUCUCAAGGAGUCAACAGAUUAAAACAAGUUAAAGAACAGACUAGUAAAUCUUUACGGUAGCCAUUUCAAAAUACUUCGGUGAAUGAUACUUAAUCAGAUAGGAAGCACAUUGACAUUACCUCCGUACACCUUUUUUUGACAUCAGGGUAUGAAUCAGGAAGAAUCCAGCGGACAUUAGGCAACUCUGAAUUAAUGAUUUAGUGGCAUGAGUUUAAAACCAGAAAAUUUGAAGUCACUUACAUAAAUAGAUCGCAUACAAAUAAUUUCAUGCAAUGUCCAAUACCAUUGAGUUUUUGGGUGAUUUCCUCGGAUACUAGAGCUCCAAAAGCAAAAUAAUGUCGAGUUGACACAGAGUAGAUCUUCAUCCUAGCUUCGUCUUCACUGGAACAUAUGACAGAUUUGAGAUACAUUCAUACAAAUAUGUUAUAAAUAGUACAUUAAUUAUUGAAACACAUUGUAUAAUAUUUGAGACAACCAAAACAUCAAGGAGAACUCCGUCCCUGUCCUCGAAAGAAUAUGCUGCUAUGGUCGUGAGAGACAAACAAAAAUAUUACAAAAUGGUAAAACUGCAACAGAUGUCUAAUGAAAUCUAAUAGUAAGCAUGAUCCUCAAGUAAGAAUCACCAUCAGCAUAAAUGACAAAGGUGAGUCUUGAAUGAACAUGUAUACAAAGCAUCGUAUAAAUGACAAAAUGACACAAAACAGGUAACAUACAUAUUUUACACUUCUCCAAUCCCGAUCUGUCAUGAGGGCAUCUCCAAGGCGACCCUCGAAUUGCCUCCAUCCGUCCGGACCAUGCUGUCCGGACCACGGAAGCCAUCCAACGCGGUUCUGUAUCAGUCUGCGGCACGGUCCGGAUGUACUUUCUCUCGCAAAACGGAGACAAAUAUGGGGAGUUUUGCGGGAGGACGGACAUCCUCAUGACAAACCAAAAGUCGCCACGUACCCACCUCUUCGUUCGGAUGGCGGAAGGCUAGCAAUGUUAGGUGAUUAGUAUUUGGGCAUUUGGCGGAAGCUUUGCAAAUAAAGUUGUGCAUUUGGCGGAAGGUUACUUCUUGCCACAUGAUUAGCAUUAGGGAAGGUGAUUAGUAUUUGGGCAUUUGGAGGAAGCUUUGCAAAUAUAUUUGGGCAUUUGGCUGAAGGUUAUUUCUUGCCAUAUGAUUAGCAUUUGACAAGAUGAUUAGUUUUCUAUUAAGGUUCUUUAUCACACGUUGGCGAAAUGGUGGAAGCUUUGUAAAUAGAUUUGGCCUUUUGGCGGAAGGUUUGAAAAUGACCAAACCCAUUUGGCGGAAGGAAGCUAGUUCAGUGGCGGAAGCAGCUAGCUUUGGCGGAAACUACACUGUCACACGGAUUAAUAGCCUUGUGCCAAACAAAAAGCGACUAAGCACAGUUUUUAAAAGGGAAUUAUGGUUAUUUGGCGGUUAAAAUUUAACAAAGACGGACAUACAUUUACAGCUAUGGUUGGAUGGCGGUCUUCCGUAUCCUUGUCCACGAACUUAUCCCCUGUCCGUGGACAGAUGAGGAAGGAAAUUUGCAGGUUAUCGUUGGAGAUGCCCUAACCCGGCCCUAUGUAUCAAUGCAGUAUACUGAUGGGCACCGAACUGGUGCUGCUACGUAAGGAAGCAAGUCACACACGGGAAAAGGGAAUAGAACUUGCCUUUGGCUUUCUUCCUCCUCCGGCUAUUUCCUUCCCUCGUAUCAGACGAGAGUAUCGCAUCCUCCUCCUUGCUGCUGCUGCUUCUUCUUCUUUCUACCCCUAAUUCUGUGUUCUUUCCAUCGUAAACUCUUAUCUCUUUACAAUCUCUAGGGAGUAGUGAGAGGGGCAAAUAGCUCCCAUGCGACGUUGUUGGUGUGAAUUGUCUCUUAUGCGACGUCGUUGGUUGUAAUAGCUCUCAUGCGACAUCUGCGUUGGAAAAAAUAGCUCCCAUGCGACACUGCUGCCUAAUCCAAAAACACAUGUUUAAAACUCGAAUCAGGUGAGCGGGACCCACAGCGUGGGACCCACUAACUUAUCCAACUCAGCAUUGGUCAGGUGAGCGGGACCCACAGCGUGGGACCCACUAACUUAUCCAGGUUAGCAUUGGUACAAGAGGACACCGAGCCGUGCCCCGAGGCGUGCAGCACCCGAGCCCAUCCUCCCCCCCCCUCCCCCCUCCCCGACCAUUGUUGUUCUUCUUCUCCGGCGACGACGCGCAGCAACGCCAUUCCGGGCCGCGACCUAGCAAUGUCGAGCUCCGCUUCAGCCUCCCGCCGCUCAUGGCCGCGCUAUGGCGCAGCGCCCAUGACAAGGUGCCCUGCAUGCCCACGUAUCGCACCCCUGAAGCGGCUAGUCACAACGACCGACAAGAAUGGCAACCUUGGGCGGGAAUUCGUGAAAUGCGAGAGCAAACCAGAGCAGGGAAAGGUGAGAUUUUACUUCUCAAUAUGCCAAUUUUGGUUUUUGUCUCCCAAUUUCAUGUUUGCCCAAUUUUUCCCCAUUUUUCAUCGGAUUUGGGAUUUAGGGUUCAUCUUUCCAAUUUCAGAAAUUGAAGCAAUGCACCCAUUUUGAGUGGCUAGAUGAGUACAUAGAGCGGAUUCAACUGGAGGGUGCAUCAGGGGAACUCGAUUUACCGUUGGAGGCGGAGAAGUUGGGCAAGUUUGGAUUGGGCGCGUCUGGAUCUGGGGCCCGUGGAUCUGCCCAUUCCAUUGGGGCUACUGUGGGGGAUGCAGUAGUGACGGCAGAGCUGAAGAAGUUGAACAAGCAGAUGAAGAAACUCAUCAAAUUGCAGAAGCAGGGCAAUUUGAUGGGGCUGAUGGCCGGACUUUUUUAUGUUUGUGUAAUUGCUCUCGCAUUUGUUUAUGUGAUGAUAAUUAGUCGUAAGUGAAUAGAUUGGGCAUCAUUUGUAAUCGUAAUGAUAUGUAUAUUUGAAUAAAAGUGUUGCGUUGUACGAAUUCAGCAUGUCCUCUCCACUCUGUUUCGGCUCCGUUUUUUUUAGUUCUUCAGUUCGUCAUCAGUUUCAGUUUCAGUGAUAGAGGGAGAAAAGGAAAAAAAGGUUCGUCCAAAGUUGCCCGAAAAGGCCAGGCCCAAUAGAAGUUAGGCAGGGCCGAAUGGAACAUAUCCAGGCCCAUUGAUAAAAGAAGUGUAGCUAGUGCAAAAAAAAGUGCACACGGUCAUUGACAUCGAUAUAUCUUUUCGGCUUUAGGUUAUUUCACAAAUUUUAAGUUUCCUGCAGUCACCUUUUUUGAGAUAACUCAUCUGAUAAUUAUUUGAGCUAUUUUUAUGCAUAAGCUAUCGUUUCCAAUGGUAGGGUCCCGUGUUGUUUCGGCUAAAACAAAAGGUUGGUUCUGGUUAGCAGUCUAACUUGCAGUCUUUGUGAACCAAAAAAGUUGCAAUUGUUUGGUUCUAGUUUAUUUCAACCAAGCACCAUUUUUUAAUUAUUAUUUUUACUUGUGCUAUGGUGUUUUCAAAGUUUUUACUCGUGUGUUUCAAACGAAAAAGGUUGUGCCUCUCUCAAAAAAGAAGACAUCUAGUGUGCCCCUAGUAGCAUCUCCUUACAACAUAGAGGGGCAUCCCCUUACAACAUAUAGUGCAUAAAACAUAAAAGGAAGAUAAUUAACUAGACACGUGCUAACAACAACUUAUAUGAUUGGAUCAUGUUUUAGUGCAUUUUUUAGUACACAUGGCCACAUAAAUAAAAUGCAAUGGAGAAACUUUAGGACCAAAAAAACAUAUAGAUAGAUAGAGGGGCAUCGGGUACCCUAGUAGCAUAGAUAGAUAGAACAUAUAGAGGGGCAUCCCCCCCCCCCCACUACAUAUAGUUCAUAAAACAUGAAAGGAAAAUAAUUAAAACUAGAUAGAUAGAAGACACAGGCACACACGCCCGAACCAACACAAACACAAACUAGAUAGAUAGAAGACUCGCACUUGAACAACUCCUUGGCCCCUCCUCCUUGGGCCCCUCUUCCUUAGCCGGCGCCCCUCACUCGUCGUUCUCCGGCAUCUAGUAGGGGAGGGUGUGCAUGCCGUUGGGGUGAGGGAAGAUGUGGUGGAAGUUGGUGAAGAUGUUGUAGGUCGUGAACGCGAUAAACUCGCAUCCACACCAGAACACCUCGCCGAGGAGGUGGUGAGCGUCGUAGGGGUUGGUGAAGGUGACGUAGAGGCCGAUGACGAAGCCGUUGGCAUUGCCAUCGUACUGCUCGUGGAGGUGGAACAUGGGCGGAGUGCCCGGAGGGAGGUGGCAGUAGCCGGCUUGGAGGAAGAAGCGAGUCAACUCUCUAGGGCCCCUCCACCUUGAGAUGGCCCACACCCUCAGGCUAUUCUCAAUGACGACUCCGGCCGGGUACUGCCUCUCCGGCACGGUGCGGGGGCGACGGUAGGUAGGGCCAUUGAACUUCAUGGUGGCUCGAGUGGUGGAUUUGGCUCGAAAAGAAGAAGGGGAGGAGGCUUGAGAGAUGAGUGUGAGAGGAUGAGGAAAUGGUGCCCUUUUAUAGCCGCGUUGCAGUCGUGGUCAAUGUGUACACAGUGCCUUCUCGAUCGUUUUCUCUUCUCUGUUCGCACUGGCAUAAGUAAUUGCGGGCAUUAAUUCAAAAAAUGGCGGGCAGAGCAUCCAAAGAGGCACAGGCCCGUUCAUCCGCGCAUGACACUGAAAAAGGAGCUGCACCACCGACGCGUCCGUCUCGUUCAAGCAUGCAUUUGUUAAAAUAGCUUAGAUGCGACGUACCUAUACGCUGCGCCCCUGCCAUGCUUUACUGCGUCGAUGCGUGCAUGCAAGCCCGCAUGCAAAUGGCUAGGCUGUGUCACACGAGCACAGAAUAGCUAGGCUGCGACGUUGCAUGGCAUGCAUGGGACAGGGAUGGCCCACAUGUCAUUGACCCUCUCACAUGCAGCCCCCCCUCUCGACGGCCGUGCGCACGCACGCCAGGCUCUGCCGGGCCCGAUCCGCUCGGCCCAACGGUCACUUAGAUGCUCCCCCGCUCAACGUUAUCUGUUCGUCAGAGAGAAAAAACGGUGGCCAAUCAGAUUGGAGAAUCAGGGCUCCCACGGAUCGCCCCCGCGGAAUCCUUCUAGAAGGCCUAUCCGACGGUCGUAGUUUAGCGUUAGGGUUAGAUCGACGGUGGACGUUUGGCGCUAGGGUUACAUGGGUUUUGGAGGCAGUCAACGGGGUUUUGAAAGGUUUGACCGAACAUUCAAAUGUGUAUAACUAAUUUAAAAAAAUCUAAAAAAUGAAAAACCUGCGCAUAUCGCCUUUUUAUGUUACAUAGUUAUGAUAUAAAAUGAUAAACUUGAUCUAAUGAUCUUUGCAUGAAAAAACCUUCACAAAUUGGACUAUCUCGACUGAGGUUGCGUAGAGUUCAAAGGAGUGAGAAGAGGGUUUGAGGUUUUGAAAAUGCAAAAAAAAUCAAAAACAUCACCUUAGCUUCACUUUAGAGUGACUAAGGAGGAUCUGAAGUUAUUUUUGCAUUUUAAAUUUUUAAACUUGUUUUAUUGCUGACUUUGUAUUAAAGGGUGUUUUUUCAAAAAUAAAUUAAAUAAUAUGAAUACUUAUUCAAAAAAAGGUGAGACUUCGUAUUGAUCCUAUAUAGGUAUAAUAUAAGCUAAGAAAAUCUUUUUUGGGUGAUUUUAAGAAGGUCGAAAAAAACUUGCUUAGAAAUGGGGCCGUUUUCCUUACUUUGGAGCCUGUUUGGACAACAUUUUCAGUGACUAUGAGUUGGACUUCACAAAAAGGGUUGGAUUUAUGAACUAAAGUGCAUAGUAGUACAUAAAACGAUGCAACAUCACAGAACAAACAAAUGAACUCAAAAAAUAUUGGAGAUAGGUUCAAAUUUGAAUGUCGGUUCAAAUUUGAAUUUUAUUUCAAGUCAAAUCAACAUCAUAGCACAUAAGUUUUCACAUGAAAGAACAUAAGUUUUCACAUCAAAUGACAAUAAACUUAAGUUUUCACAUCAAAUUUGAAUGAUUUCGACUCUAUUUCUUUUGCUUCUUUCUACCACUCGAUUUCUUCUCCUUUUUUCCAUCGUUUGGUUCCACAGCGCAUAGUUUGUUGAUGCUGAUGCUCUUGCUUUUUGGCCCCUUGGUUUUCUUGCCAACUCCACUAGGCCCCCUCAACUUUUGCACCUGACCAUGUCCCACUUCUUCAGUUUGCACUUCUGCAGAUUGAGUAGAUGGCACACAUUGUUCAACUACUUCAGUUUGCAACUCAACACUUGGCAGCACAACCUCCAAACAUGGCAACACAGUUGUCAAAGCAGAUUCGCAUGGCAGCACAACAGUUGCUUCAUCUGCAACAGUUUUAGAUUGCCCUAGCGCCUACAAAACAGAUUCAGUAUGCAUCACAUAGUCCAAAACAGAAACACUUAGCUCAUGUUCAGCAGUAACAGUUUUAGUUAGCUCCAUAUCUUUGUCACCAAACAUUAUCUGCUUAGUGCUCUUCCUUCUAAAGCCAUUGAGUCUUGCUUUUUUCACUGGCCAGCAUUGUUCAACAACAAGAGGUGGGGCUUUUUCUGCACGCUUCCUCCUAAAAAAUAAAGCAUUUGACUUGGUUAGAUACUAGAACAAGUAGCAAAAUCAAAAACUUGCAAAAACAGUAACAUAAACAUACUUUGGCCUCUGAGGAGUGUAGAUGCACUUGGAUGAACCAAUUAUGUGCCCAAGUACCUCACACAACUUGCACCUAUUUUUGUUACCUUUUUUAGCCCUUUUGGGCUUAUCAUUCUUUUCCUUUUCCUUUUUUCCCUUCUUACUACAACCACCUUUCUCAAACCAAGCUUUGAAUCUGCUCUAUUUAGGCCUCCCAGCCUUUCUUCUAGUGACAGGGGGACACAAGGUAAAUUCUAUUUCCACCUCAGGCCACUGAGAUUGGUCAGUCAGUGCAGGAAUUGGACUUGCAUAUGCAGCUUUGAAUUUUUGUACUAAAUAAUACUCAUGCAAAUAUGGGUGCAUAUUUAACCUGGGUUUAGAUGCCAAAAAAAAGUAUGAAAUGCUCACAUGGUUUUCCAGUGUGUUGCCACUCUUGGCAAGUGCACUCAUGCAACUCAGUAUUUACCACAUGCCUCUUGCCACUCUUUGUAUCUCUAACUUCAGCACCCCACAAGGAAGAUUUCUCAACAGAUAGAUGUGAAAGAUUUCUACUCAUGUUGACCACCUGUUGUACCACUGCUGGAAGCUUGUCCCCUUCCAAAAUAUUAGCAAUUUUUCCUCUCAACUCCCACAAACGCAUGAUCAUGAUCCUUAUUUGGUCCACCAUGUCAUGCAUAGGCAAGUCUUUCAAAUCCUUCACUUUGUUGUUAAAACUUUCUGCCAAGUUGUUAUUGAUAUGAUCACAUUUUAUGGCAGUAUUAAAACCUGAUCUAUACCACAACAGAGAAUGGUGGGUGUUCAAUCAUGAAGCAAAUUCAUUAUCACUACAUGAUGCCAAUAUCUUACCAAGGUGAUAGGAAUAUGUCUGUCUGGUGUAGGAUCUUGCUGCUGGCCACAUGCGCCCAAUUCAUCUCCUCUGAAAAAAUUUUAUCAGAUUCAUCCACAUAUGUCCAAAGCACUCCCUCUGCUCAGCAUGGGGGAAAACAUUUUUUACUGCAUUUUCCAACCCUUUACAUGCAUCUGUGUGGAUGGCCAAAGGAGAAACUGGCCCUAUUCAUCUUUUCAGUUGCAUCAUGAACCAUAUCCAUGAUGCCUCUGUCUCUGAUUGAAACAUUCCUAUUGCAAUUGGGAACAUCCAGUUGUGUCCAUCUAGACAUUGCAUGCAGCCAACUGACCAUUCCACUUUCUAGUCAAAAAAGAUGAGUCUAUGCUCAAAUAUGGACAACAACCUGCUUUGAAUCCAUCUAUGCAAGGCUUCAAACACAUAAAAAAACUUGCUGACCUUGCCAUCCUCUGUUACCUCUGUAUCUAUCUCCACCACACUCCCAGGUGACCUCUUCUCCACCUCUGCUUUAAAACUAUACAACAUCCUAAAUGUAUUUGCCCCGUCACCAUACAAUGAUUUCAUGGCCCUUUGUUUUGCUUUCCACACUGUGGUAUAUUGCAGCUAGAUGGGGUACAGCUUCUCCAAGUCAACUUUAAGCCUCUUUGCAGUAGUGUUUGGAGUCUUGGCUAAAAUAGGAGUAAUCUUCUCUGUAACCCAAAGCUGUGAUGUCAUCUUUGAAACUCUCUGUGAAGUGGUCAUACAUGUAUGCUGGUGUGGUAUUUGAUUUACCCUUAUUGUACUUCCAUCAGGUUGUAGUCUGGCAGACAAGUACCAUUUGCAAGGAUUUCCACCACCAUCAUAACCUUUGCACCGAGCAUAAAAUUUCUUUCGAUCAGUCCACAUAGUCUUGGCAUCAAACUCUUUUUUCACUGCAUAGGUCCUGAAAGACAUCCUAAACUCCUUCAUGCUUGGCCACAACUUUCCCACCUCAAUAACUGGGUUCUCUUUGUCAUAUAAACAAACCAGCUCAUUAUCAUCUACAUCAUCCACAUCAUCCGCAGCCUCUCUCAUCAGUUGUUCUUCAUCCUCAUUUGCAUUUCUAGGGCCUGUUUUACCCUCAGCAGGCAAAGAACUGUCAUCCUUCUCCUUAUCUUUAUCAUCAACUUGAAUGCCAAACAUUUCGGCCAUAUCAAUGUCAGAUAUUGGUGUAAUGACCAAAUCUGUUUUUCAUUCAACUCUACUACAUUCUAGUCAACAACAAUCUUCCUAGCACCAUGGGUUCCCUCCUCUCCAUCUGCAUCAAUCCCUAUAUCUUCAGCUACUACAGUCGGUUCAUUUAACAAUGCCAACAUCUUCUUUUGUGAAACCCACUCAUCAUCUACCAUCUGUGCAGCCAUCUUUGAUGGCACAUAACCAACUCUGGAAUGAGUUUGCAGAUCAAUUAGCUUUGCAUAAAAUGUUACUUGUUUGCUUGCCCACCCUUCUUGCUGAUCAAUUUCAGCAACCAUGGAUUCUCCAUCUUCAAUUCUCACAUAUUCACCAUUAUAGUUAUCGAAACGUUGCAGAGAUACCUCUUGUUCUGGACCCCAAACAAUACUCUCCCCAAUUCUCUCCACCAAAUUGCCCACGGCCUUCUCCUUCAUGCUCUCCAAUUCCUGGGGAUCAACAUCUGCAAAUUCGACAUCCAACCUCACGGUGGUAUCUCUAUCAAUGUCUUGGACACUGCCAUCACUGAGCUUGGCUUUACAGGGAAAAAAUUCCACUAUAAUUGCGAAUGUGGUGGCAGAACCUGAACCUCCCCAGUUUUGUCAAUGGCAGACAGCGGCGGCAGUCACUACCAAAUCGAGUUCGAUUCUAAAUCGCCAAGAAAAGAGGGUGGCAUUACCGAUUUGAAGCACUGUCUCCUCGCUCCAUCUCAUCCAGCCCUCGCUCCAUCUCCUAUCCAAUCGAGAUUCUAAAACGCCAAGAAACAGGGGCAGCAUGAGGCCAUAGAUUUAUCCAAAAUUCAGUGGAAUGGGAGUAGUGUUUGGAAAAUACUCACUCGCAAUAGCCGCUGCAGAGAAAGGCGCUCCACCACCAGGCCGCGGAGAAGAAACAACCCCCGGAUCCAAUGGAGCCCGAUUCUAAAUCGCCAAGAAACAGAGGGCAGCAUGAGGCCACAGAUCCCCCAAAAUUCUGGGGAGUGGGACUAGGGUUUCGGGCUCAUCUCGCAAUAGCUCUGCUACUGCCGAGAAAUGCGCUCCACCACCGCGGAGAAGAAACCGUUGCUGCCGCGGAGAAGAAACCGCUGCUGGAGAAGAUGCUUACGGCGGCGCCGCUCGCCCAGUCCAGCACGGGCCCGUCCAACACGGGCGAGUCGAGCACGGUCACACAGUCACCGGUCGAGUCGUGGACGGUUGACUCUUGACUACGUGGCCAUAGGUGGACCCCACCAAUCAGAGCACAUAACCCCCAGUGUCCUAACCAAACCUCAGCCUAACUAACGGCCAACUAGCCGCGUAAAUGGUGUGUCGCAUGGGAGCUAUUUUUUCCAACGCAGAUGUUGCAUGAGAGCUAUUACAGCCAACGACGUUGCAUGAGAGACAAUUCACACCAACGACGUUGCAUGGGAGCUAUUUGCCCGUAGUGAGAGUUAUAUCCCGUACCCAUGUACUAUGUUGAGAGAAGUAGGUUCGUAACAUGAUCCAGAACCCAUCAAGGGUGAGGGGGGCAUACCAUACCUUCCGAUGACCUGAGCGAGGGUCUUGAUGUAGCCGUCGAUGAUCUCGUCGCGGGGUACGUCAGGGUUGGCCUUGUCGCCUGGGGGCGCCACCAUCUGGAUCUGCCAGUGCUCGAAGUCGCACCCGUCGUCGAGGGGGGUCCUGAUUUCCGCGGGGGAGCAGCUGCUGCGGUUCGGGGACGGAUUAGCAGGUUGCAUCGCGAAUCUCCUGGUCGCCGCCCCGGGCGCCGGGACCGGGGACGGGACCAGAACGGCCGGGAGGACACUCCCCGCGGCCGCGAGCAGGCAGAGGAAGCGGGAGGCGGCGGCGGGGAGGGGCGAGAGCCUAGAGAGGAGGAGCGCGCGCGUGGCCGACGCCAUGGUGGAAAACCCUAGAGGGGAAUGGGUUGGAGACUGGCGAAGGGGUUUAAGGGUCUAGGUAGAGCGUGCGCGAUUUAUAGAGGAUUAGAGGGUGCACCCCUUCUGGACCCUUUCCAUUAGUGCUGAUGACUGAACAUGUGGAGUUUAUUUUUUGUUCUACUUCAGUUUUGGGAAUAUAUAUGCUGCGAGAACAUACGAUGGUGAUCUCACAGGAGAAAGAAAAGAAGAACUAGGAGUGAUGGAAGAGAGACACUUGAUUCCUUGUUGAUUUCGGGUCUACCGGUGCCGGCACUUCAUUUUUCAGUAAUGUUCUGUUACAGCUCCCAUUGGAACUCUCAUAAUUGUGCUCAAUCAUGUUUUCUUAAAUAGGGAAAGUUACUUCAGGAUGUCAAUUCGGACAAAACAACCGAUUGACAGCCCAAGAAGUAUGGAGUGAACUGAGUGAAUUGCAGAAAACCACCACAUUGACGCCUAGGUUUGCAGAAAACUGCAAACACUGGUUUACGAAUUUUUGACAAAAAUCACUGAUUAUUCUCAGCCUAAUUUUUUUGCAAAAAAACACUAACCGGUCGCUUUGGGCAUUUUAACCUCGAUUAUGACAUGUGGGGCCCGCAUUUGAUGACAUGGCGUAACGGCUCAUGUUAGACGGCGUUUGGUCUAAUAUUACAAACUAGUCCCUAAAAUUUUACAUAGAGACCCCUCAAUCAUAAAACAAAAACGCAAUUAGCCCCACCCACGUGCACAGAACCUGCAUCACGGCGCCCAUGGCUCUCGUCGCCGGCUUGGGGUGGCGGAUGGACCUUGCCGGCGUCUAGGUCGAGCACCACGCUGGGCGAUGAGAACUGCGUCUCCCCGAGCGCCGCGACCUGCUGGAGGCGAAGGCAAGCAGGUCGCCGGCGACAAACAGGUCCGCGCGUCGGUCAUUGCACUCUCGUCGUCCUUGCUCGAGCACCACGGCUGCACCGGCUCGGAAGAGGCCGGCGACGGCCUUGCGGUUGGACGCCAACCGGCUCGAGCAUGCUCUCAACACACUGCGACGCCGCGUCGCUUUUACUCUCGGUAACGGCGGAGGAUGUGGCUGGACCAGCGUGGCCUUCCGUCCUCCGUCCCGACGACCACGAUGGCAAGGAUGUGCGGCGUGCAGCUCACGGUGGCGCGCACGGCUCACACUGGAAAGGGCACCGGCGGUGGGGACAAUGUUUCUUCGCGGCGGGGGGGCAAGGUGGUUCUUCAUGGCUCACACCGGACGGGGCACCGGCAGCGUUCUUUGCGGCGGCUGAGGCUCAGGGUCCUCAAGACCAGCAAGCACCCCGGGCUGGUUCCACGAGCAGGGAGUCGACCAGGAGUACGAGAGAGGUAGGAAGGAGCUCCGGCCAAGGAACUAGCGGGAGGAGGAGAGGGCAUGGUGUGUUGGAGAGCCAGAUCCCGAUCUGGAUCGGGGAGGAAGAGAGGUGUUUUUUCAGAAAGGGGAGGACUUUUUGACAAAAAGACCCGUUUAAUGCCAUUUAUCAUGAACCGUUAUGCCACGUGAGCACAAAGUGGGUUCUAUCUAUCAUAAUCAUCAUUAAAAUGGACAAAACCGUCAACUAGCACUAAUAGAAAAAGGGUCAAAUGUGAAGCACAUUAGUGCCGGUUUGAAUUUGAGCCAGCACUAAUGUGUCCAUUAGUGCCGGUUCCAACGGCUAGGCGGGCGAACAUCAUUAGUACCGGUUCGUGGCAAACCUUUAGCACCGGUUCGUGCCACGAACCGGUACUAAAGUGAGUGGUGGCAGGAUGUUGUCAGUCCGGGGCCCCUCCAGCACCUUUAGUACCGGGUCGUAUCACGAACCGGUACUAAAGGUCGUCCUACAUAGACCCUUCGUCCACCCGAGCUCGCUCUGUUCUUCCCCUUUACCCUCUCCUCUCUGUUCUUUUCCCUCUUCCUCUCAAGCUCAUCACACAUUUUGCCCAAAAUUUGUCAAGAUUUGAAGGGGCCCAUCCAUUCAAAUGAUCACAAAGGUUAGCAACUUUGUCCUUUCAUCUCUCAUUGCUAGAUUAGCUCGUGCAAUGCUUUAUAUAGUGAUUGAUUUUUGAGUUUAGUAAUUUGGGAGGAAUUAUAUAUAUGUGCUAGUAUUUGAUUUAUAUGCAAUUUGAGGUCAAAAAUAACACUUAGUUUGCAUAUGUAGGUGUGGUUUACUUAGUGCCUUCUAAAUCUCCGUCGUAACCACCGUCGAUCACCCGCAACGUCCCGUCGCCGGCACCACCUUGUGGUGAGCCUCUUGUUCAUGAAGUUUUAUAUAAAAAAUUGAUGUUUGUGUGAUUUGGAUAUAUAGUUACUCGUAUAAUUAUCUUACCCAUACGUUGUUUGUUAUACAUAGUGCCAUGGUUUUGAUAUCCGUCCCCGUCGGCCCUCGUCCGGGUUAUGAUUCGGAUGUGGUAUAUUCUCUUUUAGAACUAUUCAUUGCAUUUUGUGUUUAUGACAAAUUAUGCCCAUCAAGUUGACAUAGAUAUUUGUAUGUAGGAGGUAGUUGAACCGGAAAUUCCAACCGACCCUAUUGUCGAGAGGUUAAAUUUAGUUGAAAGAGAAAACGAGGAUUUGAAGGAAAAAUUGAAAAGAAUUAAGGGGGAGAAGAUGGAAUUGGAGUUGCAUGUUGCCGAUGUCGUCGAUGAUCACAAGAUUAAGAUGGAGAAAAUGCGCUUGAAUAUUAGAAAGAUUAGAAAAUAUGACAUUCAUAGUGAGGCUUGGUAUCAUUUAUGCUGUUGGAUCAAUUGUUAUCUUAGUUGCGAUCUUGAUCGCAUUUGUUGUUGCAUUUAAAUUCUUUAGCUAGAGAGUUAUUUGUUUGUUGCAUUUAAGUGUUGUAUAAUCUUUAUGUAUGAACUUUAUGUAUUGUAUUAAUUUGGUGUUUUCGGUGUUGUGUAUUGAAGAUGAGCCGGCAAUGGACGUACGAUGACCGAUGCUCUCCUGAGUUCAUUAAUGGCGUGCGUACUUUUCUGCUUGCGGCUGAGGCAAACAAGCGGGUGGAUGGUUUUAUGCCUUGUCAAUGUGCUGGUUGUAAGAAUGGUCACAAUUACUCUACGUCAAGAACCAUUCACGUCCACCUGUUUGAGUCCGGUUUCAUGCCCCACUAUAAUGUUUGGACCAAGCAUGGAGAAAGAGGGGUUAUGAUGGAAGACAAUGAAGAAGAAGAGGACGACGACAGCUAUCCUGGCCAUGGGUUCCCUGAAUACGAUGAUACAACAAUGAGGGAAGAAGCUGAGCCGGUAAUGCGCGAAGAAGCUGAGCCGACAAUGCGGGAAGAAGCUGCAGAAGAGGCAUCGGAUGAGCCCAUUGAUGAUCUAGGUCGGGCCAUUGCCGAUGCAAAGAGAAACUGCGCAAGUGAUUUGGAGAAGAAGAAGUUCCAGUGCAUGUUAGAGGAUCACAAAAAAUUGUUGUACCUGAAUUGUGUAGGUGACAAGAAAAAGCUGGGCACCACACUGGAAUUGCUACAAUGGAAGGCAGAGAAUGGUGUAUCUGACAAGGGAUUUGGAAAGUUGCUGGUAAUGAUAAAGAAUAUGCUUCCAAAGGACAACGAAUUACCCGCGAGUACGUACGAAGCAAAGAAGGCUGUCUGCCCUCUAGGGUUAGAGGUGCAGAAGAUACAUGCAUGCCCUAAUGAUUGCAUCCUCUACCACGGUGAGUACGAGGAUUUGAACGCUUGUCGGGUAUGCGGUGCAUUGCGCUAUAAGAUCAGCCGCGAUGACCCUGGUGAUGUCGAGGGCGAGCGCCCCAGGAAGAAGAUUCCUGCCAAGGUGAUGUGGUAUGCUCCUAUAAUACCACGGUUGAAACGUUUGUUCCAAAACAAAGAGCAUGCCAAGGCGAUGCGAUGGCGCAGAGAAGACCAUAAGAAAGACGGAAAGUUGAGAGUACCCGCUGACGGGUCGCGGUGGAGAAAAAUCGAAAGAAAGUACGGGAAGGAGUUUGCAGAUGACGCAAGGAACGUAUGGUUUGGUCUAAGCGCAGAUGGCAUUAAUCCUUUUGGGGAGCAGAGCAGCAACCAUAGCACCUGGCCUGUGACUCUAUGUUUGUAUAACCUUCCUCCUUGGUUGUGCAUGAAGCGGAAGUUCAUUAUGAUGCCAGUGCUCAUCCAAGGCCCUAAGCAACCCGGCAACGACAUUGAUGUGUACCUAAUGCCAUUAGUUGAAGAACUCUUACAACUGUGGAAUGGAACAGGUGUAUGUGCGUGGGAUGAGCACAUGGGGAAGAAUUUGACCUAAAGGCAUUGCUGUUCGUGACCAUCAAUGAUUGCCCUGCUCUCAGUAACCUUUCAGGACAGACAAACAAGGGAUACCGCGCAUGCACGCACUAUUUGGACGAUACCGACAGUAUAUAUUUGGCUAAUUGUAAGAAGAAUGUGUACCUGGGACAUCGUCGAUUUCUUCCGAGCAGGCAUCCCGUAAGAAAGAAAGGCAAGCAUUUCAAAGGUGAGGUGGAUCAUCGGACGAAGCCUCGCCACUGUACUGGUGCUGAUGUACAUGAUAUGGUCAAGGAUUUGAAGGUGGUCUUUGGAAAGGGUCCUGGUGGACAACCUGUUCCGAAUGACGCUGAAGGACGCGCACCCAUGUGGAAGAAGAAAUCUAUAUUUUGGGACCUACCCUAUUGGAAAGACCUAGAGGUCCGCUCCGCAAUCAAUGUGAUGCACGUGACGAAGAAUCUUUGUGUGACCCUACUUGGCUUCUUGGGCGUGUAUGGGAAGACAAAAGAUACACCUGAGGCACGGGAGGACCAGCAACGUAUGCACGGAAAAGACGGCAUACAUCAGGGUCAUGCAAGCUACACUCUUACCAAAGAAGAGAAGGAAAUCUUCUUUGAAUGUCUGCUCAGUAUUAAGGUACCGUCUGGCUUCUCGUCGAAUAUAAAGGGAAUAAUAAACAUGGUAGAGAAAAAGUUCCAGAACCUAAAGUAUCAUGACUGCCACGUGAUUAUGACGCAACUGCUUCCGGUUGCAUUGAGGGGGCUUCUACCGGGAAACGUUCGAUUAGCCAUUGUGAAGCUAUGUGCAUUCCUCAAUGCAAUCUCUCAGAAGGUAAUCGAUCCAGAAAUCAUACCAAGGUUAGAGAAUGAUUUGAUGCAAUGUCUUGUCAGUUUCGAGUUGGUGUUCCCACUAUCCUUCUUCAACAUCAUGACGCACGUGCUAGUUCACCUAUGCGAAGAGAUUAACGUUUUGGGUCCUGUAUUUCUACACAAUAUGUUCCCCUUUGAGAGGUUCAUGGGAGUCUUAAAGAAAUAUGUUCAUAACCGUGCUAGGCCAGAAGGAAGCAUCUCCAAGGGCCAUGAAAAUGAGGAGGUCAUUGAGUUUUGUAUUGAUUUUAUUCCUAACCUUAAGCCGAUUGGUGUUCCUGAAUCGCGGCAUAAGGGCAGACUGGAUGGAAAAGGCAUGCUAGGAGGGGAACAAAUAAUAUGUAUGGACGGACAUUCUCUCACUGAAGCACACUACACAGUUCUACAGAAUUCCGCCUUGGUGGCUCCGUAUAUGGAUUAACACAAGAAUUUGCUACGAUCCAAACACCCGGAGCGGUCUGAUGACUGGAUUACACGUGAACAAACCAGGAGUUUCGCCAGCUGGUUGCAGACACGUACCAUGCAUGACGCCUCUAUUGAAGAUGACAUGUAUUUGCUGUCCCAGUUACCAUCUUCGAAUAUAAUGACUUUCAAAGGGUACGAGAUAAAUGGUAAUACAUUUUACACGAUCGCCCAAGAUAAGAAGAGCACCAACCAAAAUAGUGGUGUCCGCUUUGAUGCAGAAACCAAGACGGGAAAGGAAACAUAUUAUAGUUAUAUACAGGACAUAUGUGAACUUGACUAUCGACGUGGUUUGAAGGUCCCUUUGUUUCGGUGUAAAUGGGUCAAUAUGACACGAGGCGGGGUAACGGAAGACCCGCAGUACGGAAUGACAACAGUGGAUCUCAACAAUCUUGCGUAUGCAGACGAACCAUUCGUCCUAGUCAAUGAUGUGGCACAGGUUUUCUAUGUGAAGGACAUGUCUACCAAGCCGAGAAAAAGAAAAGAUAAGGAAGCAAAUGCAUCGUACGAUGACCCAAAGCGGCACAUAGGUCUUUCUGGGAAGAGAAACAUCGUGGGAGUGGAUGACAAGACAGACAUGUCAGGAGAUUACGAAAAGUUUGAUGAAAUUGUUCCAUUCACAGUGAAUAUUGACCCGAGCAUCCGGUUAAAUGAUGAAGAUUUUCCAUGGCUACGACGCAAAGGGACACACGCGAAGAAAAAGUUUCACACCCAAAGAUCUGGGAUGUGAUCGGCUUCACUAUCAUCAUUUUCUUCUGUGUUUCACACCCAGGAGGGAAUCUCUGUAAUAGUUAGGGUAGCUAGUUAUGUGUUUUGGCAUUUGAAACGCGAAGAAAUUUUAUGUGCAAGCAAAUUCUUUCAUGCAUUUACUGAUUUUUUUAGCUAAAUGAACCUGAAAUUGAAAAGCAUUUCAAAUGAACUCAGAAAAGGUUGAAAGUUGGCAUGGUAUCAUAAUUUCACCCACAUAGCAUGUGCAAAAAAGUAGAGAGGGUGACCGCAAAAACUGGAUGCACUUCGUGUACAAAAUGGACAAUCUCUUUCGAAGUAUCAGGGUUUCGGACGAAAACUCAUCCGUUACAAAGGCAUUUCAUUUUUUAAAUAACCUAAGAAUUACCAAAUUGAAUAUAAUGAUAAAACACACUAAUAUUAAACAUAAAAAAAAGAAUCACUGAAAAAUCUAUUUUCAAAGUUAAGUUAUUCACAAACUAGUGAUUCACACAAAUUUGAAAUAAUUCAAAAUUUAAACUAUUCAAAUUUGUAAACUACCGGUACUAACAGAAAGUUUGUAAUUUUUUGUACCUAAAGCAAAAAUAUUCACAAAGAAACUCUAAAUACAGCAAAAAAACAACUCAAAAAUAAAUAAAGCAAAAAUAAAUAAAGCAAAAAAAGAAAAGAAAAAAAGCCCACCUACUGCGCCACAGCGGCCUGCAUACAACUAGAAACCCAACCUGUUGUUGGGCCAGGAUGCAGGCCCGCGAAGGCCCAGUAGGCCCACAGGGCAGCACAGAACAUUUAGGCCCAGUAGGCCUGCUUUGGAGAGGAGCUCGAGGGAGCUACCGCACUGGGGCUUAUAAACCAGUGCUGACGCCCCUCGCCUAGCGAGGUGGGACUAAACAUGCCGCACCGCACCUGCGCCAGUGCACCCCCUUUAGUACCGGGUGGUGGCUCAAACCGGUACUAAAGGGGGGGUCUUUAGUACUGGUUGGAGCCACCACCCGGUACUAAAGGGGUGCCGCUCCCGCCGCUUGGUCUGGCCAAGACAGACCUUUAGUACCGGUUGGUGGCUCCAACCGGUACUAAAGGUUGUUCUAUAUAAGAAAACACUUCAAAAAAAUUGUCAGUUUCUCAUCUCUCCCUCUGCUUCUUUCUCCUCUGCCCCAUGGCAUCCGCCCCUCGUCGUCGCCCCCGUCGCCGUCCCCGUCGCCGUCCGUCGCCGUCACCGUCCCCGUCCCCGUCGUCCCCGUCGCCGCGCCCCAGCCCGUCCCCGUCCCCGUCGUCGCCGCCCCGUCCCCAUCGCCGUCUCCGUCUCCGUACCCGUCGCCGCCCCCCGUCGUCGCGCCUCGCCGGUGAGCUUCUUGCCCCGGCCGCCAUGUACCACACACACACACACACACAUACACACACAUUGUUAUAGAAAUGUUAGCAAUGUUUCUGUUUUUUAGUUAUAGAAUUAUUAGAAAUGUUAGUUAUAUAGAAAUGUUUUUUAGUUAUAGAAAUAUUAGAAAUCUUCGUUAUAUAGAAAUGUUAGUUAUAUAGAAAUAUUAGAAAUGUUAGUUAUAUUAGAAAUGUUAGUUAUAUAGAAAUGUUAGUUAUAUAGAAAUGUUUUUUAGUUAGAGAAAUAUUAGAAAUGUUAGUUUUAGUUAUAGAAAUAUUAGAAAUGUUAGUUUUAGUUAUAAAAUUUAGAAUUUGCAUAUAUGAAAUCACAAUCCAUCAUUUGAAAAAUGUUACUUUACUUUUGCGGCAUAUAGUAUUUGUUGUCGACGAUGCCCGGCCCGCAUCCUCGUUGUCGACCCGUUCGCGACGACGUCCUGCUUCAGAGGACCCAUGUCCGGGACUGGGCUCGCACUGGGAGGUGCUACCUUCAGGGGCGCGACGCUUGGUGAGGAACUCGGCCCCGGGUCCCGUUGUCGACCCUGAUCUCCUUUGGUGGCGUUCGCAUGGGCCACUUUCGGUGCGGAGGGAGCCGGCCCCGCCGGAGGUGGUACGUCGCCGUGUCAGGGAGGAGGACGAGCACGUCCAUCGCUACAUGGCUGCUAUGGACGUCAGGUUCUCCAAUACCUGGCAGGUUCUUUGAGGAGAUCACCCGAGCUAUGAUCCAGUGAUGGUUCCUUCACUUUGGUUGUCCACCGCCUAGAUUACUCUCUAGUAUUCGAUCUUUACUAGCUAGCUAGCUAGCUAGUGAUGUAUUCGAUAUAUAAUAUUCGAGAUGAUUUUCGAGAUUAUAUAUAUUAUUCGAGACGAUGUAUUCGAGAUUAUAUCUAUUAUUCGAGACGACGUAUUUGAGAUUAUAUUUGAUGAUGCUUAUUAUGUACUAUGAUUGAUUCAGUUUUUCCUUAUUAAUUGAUUGCAUAUAUGCAUUGUAAUUUGAAUAUAUUUCUUUUGGAUUAGUUAAAUAAAACCUAUGACGGACAAUACCGGCAGAGAGGGAGAAGAGGCCCUGUUCAAUAUCAUACGCAAUCCUCGCGGGCCAGAUGAUGAUCAGAAUGAAGAAGAUUAUGAUGGCUCCGAAUAUCUAAACAACACUGGGGAGGGUGAUAUGAUAUUCGAUCGCGACGACCGAAUUGAUGAAGUCGUGAACUAUGAGCAUGACGAAGAAAAUGUUGAUCUUGAAACAACAAAGACCGGUGAGGUAUAUAUAUUUAUAUAAGCAGACAUUUGGUGAUCAUCACAUGUUUAAAUGACUUGAAAAUAUAUUAACGAAUCGAUCUUUCUUUUUUCAGCCUUCCGGAUCGAGCAAAUCUUCAGGCAACAGGAAACGAGGCCCGAACAAAAAGUUGAAGGAGGGCGUAAAGUACAAUAUCGAGGCCAUCAAACAUAAUGGCGAACCAUUAGCGCCUAAGAAGAUUGCGGACAAGUUCAUUCGUCAGUGCGGAGUUCUUGUGAAGGACCAACUCCCGAUCUCCCUUCAAGAAUGGAGAGAGCCAGCAAAGCCACGUCCAGGAAUUACUUUUGUCGACGACAGACAAAAACUUCUGCUUUGGGAAACGCUCAUGGAACAUUUCACCCUACCAGAUCAUUUCACAGAUGCAGAUGUGGAGAAAGUCAAGGACGCUGCUCUUAGGAAGAUGGCGGUUGCAUUCAACAACCACAAGAAUCGUGAAUGGGGCAAGUACGUCAAGGGAGGAAGGAAGACUCCAGUAUUCGAGGGAACACUUGAGAAGCAAAGUGCUCAUUGGGACGAUUUUGUGAAAUUCAAGGAUUCGGAAUUAUCUAAGGAACGGUCGAUCAACAAGGCCAAUGCCGCAAAAAAAGGAUAAGUUCCAUAAGCUGGGGCCAGGUGGCUAUGCGGUGGGAAUGCCUAAGUGGGAUAAGUUUGAGAAAGAGAUGGAUGAUGUAGGUGUCACUCCAGAAACAUUGAGCUGGCCCCCAGGUGCAGGACUUGGUUCUAUGCGCAUGGGGGGAGUUGGACCCGAAGACAGGCAAAGUUUCGAAGAAGGCAUGUCUGGACGGAGCCGAAGAUAAGCUACUUGUUGCAAUAGAAGAGGCUCGAUCGGGGGUGUUCAAGCCCAACAGAGAGAAUGACGAGCUUACGCGUGCCCUGGGAAAUCCUGAACACCCGGGAAGAACACGAGGCAAGGGCGCUAUUCCGUGGUAUGAGGGGUUUUCGGACUGGAACGACGACUACAGAACCCGUGCAAGAAAGAAGAUUGCGGAGGAGGAGAAGAGGAAGAUGGAGGAGGAGCAGAGGAAGUUGGAGUAUUGAAAGUGCAACUAUCCCUAGGUGGUUUUGGUAAUUCAUAACAACAUAUAGCUCAUUGAGCUAAUGCUAUUCCAAGAUGACUAUUUCAGGAAAGCUCAAUGAUUGGCAUGGCAUGGAUGUGAAAGUGGAACCCUCAAAAUGCUAAGGACAAAGGAUUGGCUCAAGCUCAAAAGCUCAAGACUCUUCAUUUUAUAUUUUAGUGAUCCAAGAUCACAUUGAGUCUUUAGGAAAAGCCAAUACUAUCAAGGAGGGAUGAGGUGUUGCUUAAUGAGCCUCUUGCUUCAUGUGCUUAGUGAUAUGCUCCAAAACCCUCAACUACUUUCCCAUAUCCACAUAUGACCUAAACCCUAAGCCAAACUCGGUCCUACCGAUUCUUUCUAUCCGGCGCCACCGAGUUUCACUUGUCAUAAGCCACUGCCAAACCCUAGCAAUUCGGUUCUACCGAUAGGGAUCUCGGUCUCACCGAGAUGGGAUUGCAAACUCUCUGUUUCCCUUUCGUAACUUUUCGGUCUCACCGAAAGAGCGAAUCGGUCCCACCGAGAUUGCAAUGUAAAUUCAGUGUUUCCUUUUUGUAACUUUUUGGUCUCACCGAAAGAGCAAAUCGGUCCCGCCGAGUUUGCCUGACCAACUCUCUGGUUAGCUAAUUACCAAAAUCGGUCUCACCGAGUUUGUGUAAUCGGUCUCACCGAGAUUACGUUAUGCCCAAACCCUAACCAUAUCGGUCCUACCGAGUUGCAUGUCAGUCCCACCGAAAAUCUCUAACGGUCACUAGGUUUACCUUUUCGGUCCGACCGAGUUUGUUGAUUCGGUCCCACCGAGAUUGGAAAACUGUGUGUAACGGUUGGAUUUUGUGUGGAGGCUAUAUAUACCCCUCCACCUCCUCUUCAUUCGUGGAGAGAGCCAUCAAAACACAUACACAAUUCCAACUCAUAUGUUCUGAGAGAGAACCACCUACUCAUGUGUUGAGACCAAGAUAUUCCAUUCCUACCAUAUGAAUCUUGAUCUCUAGCCUUCCCAAGUUGCUUUCCACUCAAAUCUUCUUUCCACAAAAUCCAAAUCCUAUGAGAGAGAGUUGAGUGUUGGGGAGACUAUCAUUUGAAGCACAAGAGCAAGGAGUUCAUUACCUACACACCAUUUGUUACUUCUUGGAGAGUGGUGUCUCCUAGAUUGGCUAGGUGUUACUUGGGAGCCUCCGACAAGAUUGUGGAGUUGAACCAAGGAGUUUGUAAGGGCAAGGAGAUCGCCUACUUCGUGAAGAUCUACCGCUAGUGAGGCAAGUCCUUCGUGGGCGAUGGCCAUGGUGGGAUAGACAAGGUUGCUUCUUCGUGGACCCUUUGUGGGUGGUUGCUUCUUCGUGGACCCUUCGUGGGUGGAGCCCUCCGUGGACUCGCGCAACCGUUACCCUUUGUGGGUGGAGCCCUCCGUGGACUCGCGCAACCGUUACCCUUCGUGGGUUGAAGUCUCCAUCAAUGUGGAUGUAGGAUAGCACCACCUAUCCGAACCACGGGAAAAACAUCCGUGUCUCCAAUUGUGUUUGAAUUCUCCAAACCCUUCCCUUUACAUUCUUGCAAGUUGCAUGCUUUACUUUCCGCUGCCAAUAUACUCUUUGCAUGCUUGCUUGAAUUGUGUGAUGAUUGCUUGACUUGUCCUACAAUAGCUAAAAUCUGCCAAGAACUAAAAUUGGGAAAAUGUUAAGUUUUUAUUUGGUCAAGUAGUCUAAUCACCCCCCCCCCUCUAGACAUACUUUCGAUCCUACAAGUGGUAUCAGAGCUUUGGUCUCCAUUUGCUUUGAUCUCCAUAUCUUUUGGUGGUCAUAGCCUUGGUUUCACAACCUAGGAGAGUAUGGCGUCUAGCGAGGGAAAUUAUCACCGUAGAGGUCCUUACUUUGAUGGUACUAAUUUUGCUAGUUGGAAGCAUAAAAUGAAAAUGCAUAUUCUUGGACAUAACCCCGCCGUUUGGGCUAUUGUGUGUGUUGGUUUGCAAGGUGACUUCUUUGAUGGAAAAGAACCAAACCGUGAAGCUACCGCGGAUGAGUUGAAGAUGUUGCAAUACAAUGCUCAAGCUUGUGAUAUUCUCUUCAACGGAUUGUGCCCCGAAGAAUUCAACAAAAUCAGCCGUCUUGAGAAUGCAAAGGAAAUUUGGGACACUUUGAUUGAUAUGCACGAAGGUACCGACUCCAUCAAGGAAUCCAAGUUGGAUGUGCUUCAAAGUCAACUUUACAAGUUCAAAAUGAAGGAUGGUGAAGGUGUCGCUGAAAUGUACUCUAGGCUUGCUCUCAUCACAAAUGAGAUUGCCGGCUUAGGAAGUGAACAGAUGACCGAUAGAUUCAUCAUCAAGAAGAUUCUAAGAGCCUUGGAUGGAAAAUAUGAUACCGUGUGCACAUUGAUCCAAAUGAUGCCCAAUUACAAAGAUCUCAAGCCAACGGAGGUGAUUGGAAGAAUUGUUGCUCAUGAGAUAUCACUUAAGGAUAAAGAGGAACUUCACAACAAAUCAAGUGGUGCCUACAAAGCCUCAUGUGAAGCCCCUACAUCAUCAAGUGAGAAACAAAACUUCAAUGAAGAAUUGAGCUUAAUGGUGAAGAACUUCAACAAGUUCUACAAGAGUAGAAGCAAAGAUAGAAGCUUCAAGUCAAGGUCCUACAAUGACAAAAGAUCUUCUAGUCGAGAGCGAAACUGCUACAGUUGUGGAAGACCCGGACACUAUUCCAAUGAGUGUACGGCUCCCUACAAGAGAAGAGAAGAUUCUCCAAAAGGAAGAAGCAAAGAAUCACCACCAAGAGAGAGAAGGAGUAGAGAUGAUCGUUAUGAACGAAGAUACUCACGGAGAAGCAAGGAUUCGGAAAGGAAGGAAAAAUCAUCAAGGAGCUACACAAAACGAAGACAUCAAGCUCAUGUUGGUGAAUGGGUAUCCGGAUCCGACUCCGACAGCCACUCUGAGAGAAGUUAUCACUCCGACUCCGAAGAUACUCAAGAUGAAGGUGUUGCUGGUCUAGCACUUGUGUCAACCAACUCCUACGACAUAUUUGACUCACCAAAUGAAGCAAUUGGAAGAUGCUUCAUGACCAAAGGUCCUAAGGUAACACACCCCGAGUAUGUUGAUUUCAAUAGUGAUGAAGAUGACUUGUUAGGUGAUGAUUUGCUUGUUGACAACUCUAGUGAUGAAUACUAUGAUGAAACGUCAAUUAAUCAUGCUAAUCAAGAUAAAACGAAUGACAAUGAUAAGGAGAAGAUUGAGGCUCUAACUAAAGAACUAAACACUCUUAAGUUAGCUCAUGAAACUAUCUUCGAAGAUCAUCGAGAACUUUUAAGAGCUCAUGAGAAAUUACGCUUUGAAAAGCUCAAUCUUGAGCAAGAACAUGAGUUCUUAAAAGAAAUCAACGAUGAUCUCCGCAAGAAAAGUUCUUCUUACAUUGCCAAGCGUUUACUCUUAUCCACUUACAUGCCUCAAGUCAAGUCUAGUAACAAAAACAAGAAAGAUUCUUCCUCUAGCAGUAACAAUGAUCAUGCUAAAUCCAAUAUUGUUGCUUCUAGUAGUUCUCUUGAUUCCACUAAUGAUUCUCUUAGCCAAGUUACACUUGAGCAAGAAAAUAGCUUAUUGAAGGGAAUUAUAGAGAAAGGAGUGUACAAAAGCCUUGCCGAGAGUAAGCAAUUCGAGGAAAUUGUGUGCAAGCAAGGAAUGCACCGGAAGAAUCAAGGUGUUGGUUUUGAAAAAAAGUUCAAUGCCAAUGGAGUUGAGUGGUAAGAAGAUCAAUACCCCAAGACAAAGUUUGUUCCUCAACAAGAUAAGUAUGAUACUUCUUUCAAGGGGACACAAGCUCAAGAUGAUCUUCCACCACAAGACUACAAGCAAAAAGGCAAGGACAAGCUUCAAGAGGAAAUUGAUGCAUUUGAAGAAGCUCCUAAGACCUUAGUCAAGUGGAUUCCCAAGACUACUUCAAGUUCCACUUCAUCAAGUACGACUACAACUCCAAGGAUUCCCAUCAAGAUGGUGUGGAUCCAAAAGAAGAAGAACUAGAGAGUUCUUGAGGGUGACUCCGCCAACAUACUUCACUCUUAUCAUUUUGGCAAGAACAAGUGCAAUCAACUUCCACAUCUUGCACUAGUUCAAGGAGUCACAAACCCUCUUGUUGGUAAGACAAGGGACAAGGUAACCUAAAAGUUUUCAUGGACAUCAUCUUGUGUGUGCAUCACUCUAUGUCUAUGGAUAUCCUUGUUUGUUCCUUAUGGGACUAACCCAUGUAGGUAUUGAAAGUGCAAUUCACUCAAAUGGAUAGCUCCAAGUGAUCUACAUCAACAUUGAGCAUCCACAUCUUCAACAUCUACAUGAAGUCAUCAUCGACAAAACCCGAGGUUAGUUCAUCCCUCUAAGGGGGGAUAUCACAUCUAGGGGGAGCUUUACUCUAAGACUUGAGCUAAAGCAACUCUAAAGAUGUGAACACAACAAUGCUUUAUGUAAAAGUGGUAACCCCACUUAAGCUUAAACGAUGAGUAUGACCUAUGAUCAAGUGUUCUCACUUGACUCCUAAGUCAAUAUACUCAUAUAUAGAUGACCUUGUCAUCGCAAAUUGCUUGAUAGAUGCUAGAAUUGGUUGUGCAUGCCUUGUCACAUAUUUCAUUUGCCAUCUUAUUGUGUGAGCAUGCUGGUUGCAUAUUUUACUCAUUCGAGGACAUCCACUUGUUGUUUUGAUUGUUUGGUUUUAUUUCCUUUUGCCAAGUGGAUGGACAAGAAUGCCUAAGAACCUCCUCUAGCUAUCUAUGCUUUUCUCGUCUAAAACUCUAUUCAUGCUACAUCACAAAAUUUGAUCAAGUCAGAUUCGAACCACUCUGUGUGAGGAGCGCUCGGAGUCCCCGAUUCGUCAUAGACUUAAACUUCCAAAACCUCUUUAUGAUUCUCGGUCUGACCGAUACCCCACUUUCGGUCCUACCGAGAUCAUUAAGUUGAUCUAGGUUUUCGAUCUUGGUGCAACCGAUUUGAACCAUUCGGUCCCACCGAGUUGCAACAACUGUAUACAGUUUUGCAUCUUGGUGCCACCGAGUUGUUCCACUCGGUCACACUGACAGGGUCGGGCUAUAUAUAGUCACGGGCAAAAAUUUGGAAAUUUCUCUGAACCCCUUCGCCCGCACGAUAGCUCGCUCUGCCAACUUGGUCUCCGGAUCGUCUCCUCACCGCCAGCCGCCUCCAGUCGCUGGUCUACAUCGCCGUCAACGGAAUUCAACCCUGCCGUUGCCGCUGUAGCGAGUCUCCGCCGAACUAGGGUAUGGACUCGAUCACAGUGCUAUUCCCCGUCCGAUUCCUAGCACAUUGUGUUCUUAAUGAUUCUUGCCACGAUUGAAACACUCCUAUCCAGUCAAUGCGCUCGUAGAUUAGGUUUGAUUCGAAAAUUUUAGGGUUAGGUUUCCACCGAAACCAUCUCGGACCCACCGAAUUGAAAAACUCGGUCCCACCGAUUUGGCUCAUGCCAUUGCACAAGUGAGACUUGGUCUGACCGAGAAUUACUUAUCGAUGUGACCGAUUUUGGAACUUUGUGAAACCCUAGCAGGCUCGGUGCCACCGAACUGUGACUCGGUCUGACCGAGUUCACUAGUUUAGGUUCCAAAACUGCUUCGGUAUCACCGAGUUUAAAAAUCGGUAGAUCCGAGAUGAUUUCAGUGGGAAACUAAAACUAAGUUUUUGGAUCAUUCUUUUGCAAAAAUCUCUGCAUUUUGUGAUGCUCAUCCACUCUAUCUCAUCUAUAACCUAUUCACAGGGUCAGCAGUCAGAGUUUGCAACAUGUCUGAUCAGAGUGACAGCCAGAACUUGUCAGAGCAGCAAGUGCAGAUGAGUGAGGGCACUAGUCCCUCCAGCUCUUCAGAUGAUGGCAGCAGAAGUACCCCAAGCAAAUUGCCAAAAGCUGUCACGAGACAAAGGAAGAAAAGAACUUCAGAUUCUGAGGAUGAAGAUUAUGUGGCAGAGGAAGAGGAAGCAACUUCCAAUAGAGUUGAGCCAACACAGGGCACAAAGCCAGGGUUAAAGAUCAAAAGGCCAGCAGGCAGGCAGCCUAUGUCAAAGGCCAGAGCUUCAACUGAGAAGCCCACUCCCAUAGAGCCAGUUGCUGCUGAAGGCAAGAAAAGAAAGGAAAGGGUGAAGAAAACCGUAGCCAGAGUGCUUGGCAAGGCUUCCAUCAUGGAAGAUGAGGAGGAAGAAGAAGAGGUAGCUGCACCAGCACCUAAGGCACCCAAGCUGAUGGGUGAUGCCAUAAGAUCAGGGGCAGCUGCUUCCAAGGCCAAGCCAGCUCCAAAGCCAAAACCAAAGAGGAAUACAAGAAGCAUACCUGCAACUGAGAAGAACAAGGCCCCAGUGCCUGAAGCUGCAGAAGAAGAUGAUGAAGAGCAAGUUCUUAGAAAGCUCAAGCCCAAGAUCCCAGACCACAACGAUGCUCAUCCUGUGGCUGAGGAUAUGAAACUCAGGAGAGAUUCAGGGCUCCGGAAGUGGAGAGAAGAAGAUCCAUAUGCUUCAAGGAGAAGAACUGCUGUGGAUUACAGGUUUCACACCAAGGAACAGCAAGAUUUCUAUGAGACAGUGCUGCUGGACAAGAAGCCCAUAGUUUGUGACAUGAGAUGGGUUGAUUGGGAGUACAUCAAGGACAAUGAAGAGCACUAUCCUGGAGUGCAAGACAGCUUUAGUGCUUGUGGAGUUGCAGACUUUGUUGGGCAGAAGCUCACAAAGUGGAACGGGGAGCUCAUUAUGCAAUUCUACUCCACAGCACACUUCUAUCCAGAUGGUAGGAUAACUUGGAUGUCUGAAGGUACGAGGUACCAAUCUACAGUUGAUGAAUGGGCUCAACUGAUCAAUGCCCCAGAAGAGCAGGAGGAUGACUUGGAUGUCUAUGCCAAGAAAAAGAUGGAUCAUAACUCAAUGGCAAAUAUGUACAAGGAGAUUCCAGUAGAUGAUCUUGACACUCACCAGCUUGGGUCCGUAAAACACUUGUUGUCAGGACUGUCUACGAUCAACUGGAUCCUUAGGCACACACUCUUUCCCAAGUCUAGAGAUCAUAGAAUGAUCAGAGGUCACGCCAUUAACUUGCUACAUAUAUUUGAUGUGCCUCAGAAAUUCAAGGUCAUGAGCCUCAUAGUAGAGACUAUCAAGAGGACUGCAGCAGAUCAGAAGAGGAGCUGUGGUUAUGCCCCUUAGAUCCAGGAGCUCAUCAACUCGAAGAUGGGCACAGGCAUAUACUUAUUGGACAAGGAACACCUGCCCAUCCGUCCAGAUUUUGAAGAUAAUCAAGUUGUCAUGAAUGAGAAUGAACCAUCAUCUGCACAAGCACAAGCAAAGAAGGAGAAGGCAAGGGAGGAGAAAGCUGCCAAGAUGCCAACUCAAGAGGAGGCAUCUGAGUAUUUCUUGAAAACCAAACAAGAGCAUCUUGGUUACUUGAUUGCAUCCACCCUGCGGAUUGAGCAAGGACUAGCCACCCUAACUCAGAACCAGGCAAGCUUAGAGAGGAUCAUGGAACAAAAGUUCUAUGACUUGGAUGUCAAAGUAACAGAGAUUCAGACUGCAGUGGAGCAACUUCAGGAUGACAUGCAGGAGAGGAGAGGCAAGACUACAACAGAUGCCUUUGCCAGAGUGCCACGAGGUCCGAGGUCGUAUGCAGUGACAGUUGCUGACCCCAGAGCCACCACGUCUGCACCAGCUACAGCCUCAGUUCCACCAGCUCCAGCGUCCACUUCGGCCUCGACUCCAACCACGUCUACAGAAGGCUUCGUCCUUGGAGUGCUCCGGACUCCACCACCACCUGAAGAUCAAGCCUGAGCGUCGAUCUAGCACUAUGCAUUUUCUAGGAACUUUUUGGUAACUUGUUGCCAAAGGGGGAGAAAAAUGUAUAGAUCAUAGGCUUCGAGAGAGUGUGUGUUGCUUUUUUCUCUCUUGCUUUAUUUGGUGGUUUUUCGAACUUUGUUUGCUUUCGUGUGAGAUACUAUGUCAUUGCUCGUGAGACAUUGAUGAUCAUGUGUUUGAUCAUAAGCUACACUUAAUGCUUGAUGAAUGUUAUUAUCUUAUCUAUCUUAUGUGAUCAUUCACUUUUCUUGGUGAUGAGUGCAUGUAUUUCAUUCUUAUCAUUUUAAGUGCUCCACCAAGAUGUAUGUGACAUGGAAGAGUAACCCAUGACUCUAACUCUUUGUGCAUUUGCAGUCCAAAGCAAAUUUUAAAUAUGCACAAAUUUAGGGGGAGCUCUUACUUGUCACAUACUUCUCAAAGCGACGAUAUAUUUCAUGCUUAUUAUCAUUUGUCGAAGCUUUGAUCUAUAUGUUGUCAUCAAUUACCAAAAAGGAGGAGAUUGAAAGUGCAACUAUCCCUAGGUGGUUUUGGUAAUUCAUAACAACAUAUAGCUCAUUGAGCUAAUGCUAUUCCAAGAUGACUAUUUCAAGAAAGCUCAAUGAUUGGCAUGGCAUGGAUGUGAAAGUGGAACCCUCAAAAUGCUAAGGACAAAGGAUUGGCUCAAGCUCAAAAGCUCAAGACUCUUCAUUUUAUAUUUUAGUGAUCCAAGAUCACAUUGAGUCUUUAGGAAAAGCCAAUACUAUCAAGGAGGGAUGAGGUGUUGCUUAAUGAGCCUCUUGCUUCAUGUGCUUAGUGAUAUGCUCCAAAACCCUCAACUACUUUCCCAUAUCCACAUAUGACCUAAACCCUAAGCCAAACUCGGUCCUAUCGAUUCUUUCUAUCCGGCGCCACCGAGUUUCACUUGUCAUAAGCCACUGCCAAACCCUAGCAAUUCGGUUCUACCGAUAGGGAUCUCGGUCUCACCGAGAUGGGAUUGCAAACUCUCUGUUUCCCUUUCGUAACUUUUCGGUCUCACCGAAAGAGCGAAUCGGUCCCACCGAGAUUGCAAUGUAAAUUCAGUGUUUCCUUUUUGUAACUUUUCGGUCUCACCGAAAGAGCAAAUCGGUCCCGCCGAGUUUGCCUGACCAACUCUCUGGUUAGCUAAUUACCAAAAUCGGUCUCACCGAGUUUGUGUAAUCGGUCUCACCGAGAUUACGUUAUGCCCAAACCCUAACCAUAUCGGUCCUACCGAGUUGCAUGUCAGUACCACCGAAAAUCUCUAACGGUCACUAGGUUUACCUUUUCGGUCCGACCGAGUUUGUUGAUUCGGUCCCACCGAGAUUGGAAAACUGUGUGUAAUGGUUGGAUUUUGUGUGGAGGCUAUAUAUACCCCUCCACCUCCUCUUCAUUCGUGGAGAGAGCCAUCAGAACACAUACACAAUUCCAACUCAUAUGUUCUGAGAGAGAACCACCUACUCAUGUGUUGAGACCAAGAUAUACCAUUCCUACCAUAUGAAUCUUGAUCUCUAGCCUUCCCAAGUUGCUUUCCACUCAAAUCUUCUUUCCACAAAAUCCAAAUCCUAUGAGAGAGAGUUGAGUGUUUGGGAGACUAUCAUUUGAAGCACAAGAGCAAGGAGUUCAUUACCUACACACCAUUUGUUACUUCUUGGAGAGUGGUGUCUCCUAGAUUGGCUAGGUGUUACUUGGGAGCCUCCGACAAGAUUGUGGAGUUGAACCAAGGAGUUUGUAAGGGCAAGGAGAUCGCCUACUUCGUGAAGAUCUACCGCUAGUGAGGCAAGUCCUUCGUGGGUGAUGGCCAUGGUGGGAUAGACAAGGUUGCUUCUUCAUGGACCCUUUGUGGGUGGUUGCUUCUUCGUGGACCCUUCGUGGGUGGAGCCCUCCGUGGACUCGCGCAACCGUUACCCUUCGUGGGUGGAGCCCUCCGUGGACUCGCGCAACCGUUACCCUUCGUGGGUUGAAGUCUCCAUCAACGUGGAUAUAGGAUAGCACCACCUAUCCGAACCACGGGAAAAACAUCCGUGUCUCCAAUUACGUUUGAAUUCUCCAAACCCUUCCCUUUACAUUCUUGCAAGUUGCAUGCUUUACUUUCUGCUGCCAAUAUACUCUUUGCAUGCUUGCUUGAAUUGUGUGAUGAUUGCUUGACUUGUCCUACAAUAGCUAAAAUCUGCCAAGAACUAAAAUUGGGAAAAGGUUAAGUUUUUAUUUGGUCAAGUAGUCUAAUCACACCCCCUCUAGACAUACUUUCGAUCCUACAACUAUGAACGCCUUCAAGGCCUAGAAUCAGCGCACGCGGACUUGGCAGUCAAAUUCCAGCGGCAGCAGGAGCAGAUCGACUCACUUAGCCAGCAAAGGGGGUCUCAGCAGCUGCAGCAGCUAGCGGAUGAUCCAGCAUUGGAUAGCACCGUCCCAUCCAUGCCGAGAAGCAGCGUGGGUUCCGCCCCGGGCGACGCAUUGCUGGAUAGCUACCCAGUGGAUGACAUCAUGGAGAACACUAACUGUGAGCUACACUUCAAAAUGAAGAACAUAUCCAUGAAGGUGGCGGGCGCCGUUGCUUUUACAAAUCCCCCCGAGGCAACCUUCCAUUGCAACCUGAUUCCAGCGGGCUAUGCUCGUGUCUUAGUUGAUGAGGUGGUGGACCAAUAUUCGGGGCUAGAGCUUGACAUUCCUGGAGGUGACGAGGAGCACACACUGGGAGAGGACCUCCAUCGUAUCAUCCUAUGGAGAAAGGAUUGCAUCAUCUUUCGAAGGCCACCGACACCGCGUCAUCCGACUCCUCGUCGAAGUCCGCCAUCGAAUCAGCAGACUCCCGCUCCUCCAAGUCCACCAACGCGUCAGGCCACUCCUCCUCCAAGUUUGGCACAGCUUCAGGCCACUCCUCCUCCUCCAAGUCCGGCAAAGCAUCAGGCCACUCCUCCUCCAAGUCCGGCACAGCUUCAGGCCACUCCUCCUCCUCCAACUCAGCCACGUCAGCCGUCUUCGUCGCCUCAGCAAUCACGGAAGAGAGCCGCCUCAGCUAUGGUGCGUAGCGGUACAAGUCGAGGUAGUACUGGAGGUACAGGCGGAGGCAAGCGAUUUCAAUAUGGUCCAAGCAUCCUCGCGCCUCUUCCGCAGAGGCCUUACGACAAGUCCGAGGAGGAAAACGCAGCCAUAUCGAAGGCCGAGGUGGAAGCCCAUUUUGCACCGAAACCGCCACCGCCGCCAAGGGAGAAAGUGCCUGAGGAAAAGAUUGACCACUUCAUUCGUAUGGCUAGCGCACCAGCUACCAAGCCUGUUGACACAGACUAUGAGCGCCACCUCAGGAAGUUAAAUCGAGCACGUCUACAGAAAGAGGCGAGCUCGAGGUCGAGCAAAUCAGCUGGCAAAACAUGCGGUAAAACCGUUCCCCGGCUGGAAGAANNNNNNNNNNNNNNNNNNNNNNNNNNNNNNNNNNNNNNNNNNNNNNNNNNNNNNNNNNNNNNNNNNNNNNNNNNNNNNNNNNNNNNNNNNNNNNNNNNNNNNNNNNNNNNNNNNNNNNNNNNNNNNNNNNNNNNNNNNNNNNNNNNNNNNNNNNNNNNNNNNNNNNNNNNNNNNNNNNNNNNNNNNNNNNNNNNNNNNNNNNNNNNNNNNNNNNNNNNNNNNNNNNNNNNNNNNNNNNNNNNNNNNNNNNNNNNNNNNNNNNNNNNNNNNNNNNNNNNNNNNNNNNNNNNNNNNNNNNNNNNNNNNNNNNNNNNNNNNNNNNNNNNNNNNNNNNNNNNNNNNNNNNNNNNNNNNNNNNNNNNNNNNNNNNNNNNNNNNNNNNNNNNNNNNNNNNNNNNNNNNNNNNNNNNNNNNNNNNNNNNNNNNAUUGUGGGAAAACCGUUUACGUUCCCGAGCUGGGCGAUGUGGUAAUAACCGAGGAGCAUAUUGAGCAGGCUGAAAUGCUCAAGAUCACUGUUGGACAACUCCUCGAUAUCGAGCCCAUGUCUCCGACUAGAGAGGAGGAAAUAAAACGAAAAUAUGUCCGGGGCCAACCUUUGGUCGAGCCAGACGAGGUCAAGAAGCUCCCAACGAGAAUGUAUGAAUUGCAUCAAUGGUACAUGGACAUUACCAAGAAUUCCAAUCGAGAGUCCCUCAUGGUGAAUGUCAAGAAGGAUCAUUACUACCAUGAGAAAGUUGUGUCCGUUGAGUAUUCAGAACUAUUUCAGUUAUACAAUCAAGAUGCACUCGACAAAUCUAUCGUCAGUUGCUAUUGUCUGUAAGUGAUUUCUUUCUGUAAUUUAAGUCUCAAGCUAGCUGUAGUGAUCAUUUUGAUCAAUCAUUACAUGUAAUUAUCCUCACUAUAUUCUUUUCUGUGGUAUUAUGCAGGAGGAAGAUUUAUGAAAUGAAAAAAGGUGGACGUUAUGGCAUUGGGUUCGUUGACCCAAAUACCAUUAAUGAAUACACAUGGAAAUUAGAUCCAUAUUACGAAAAAAGUAUAGAGGAAAGCAUGCUAGAGUUCUUCAAGCGCCUCAAAUACAAUGAAGAUAUACUACUUCCUUACAACUUCGAGUGAGUCACACUGUCUUGUACUACAAAUUCUGUUUUUGCCUACUAGCUAGCUACAUAUUUUUGCUUACAUAUGCCCGCUUAAUUAAGACAUGCAAACGUGUGUGCAUGCAAAUUUCACUGGAUCUUGUUAAUCAUUAAAGUUGAUGAACGAACAGUUGAAGUACUAGACUCACUACUUAAGAAACCAACUGACUACACCAUCGUGAAGGGGAUAGUUAACAGGUAAUUUCAAUCAUUAUUAACUAUAUCUCGGCCUAUUUAAUUAGUUCAUCAUUUCCUGAUAACAACUAUUUAAUAACCCAUUUAUUCAUUUUCUUUGUCGGCGGGCAGGGCUUGGGCAAAGUUCAUCAGCUUCACUCCAGGCCAAUGGAAACGAAAUCUGAAAUGGUAUCGACCCAUGGUAAGUAAUUAAGUAGUACUAGCUAGCUGCCAUCUCUUUAAUUAUCAUGCUUGAUUAAUUAUUAUCUGAUCAAAUUCCAUUCUCGUAAAGGCCCUGAAGCAGGCGCCGGGGAAUAAUCUGUGUGCAUACUACGUUUGCGAGAACAUUCGCAUGAUGGCGUCCGAAAGGAGCAGAUCUCAAAGACAGGAGUAGGUACGUUUGUCAGAACACUAUUCACAAUUUUUACACCAUUAUCGAUAUCUAGUCACACAAAUAAUACACAUGCAUAUUGAUAUCCUUCUUAACAGUUCAAAAAGGUGCGACAGAACCUCCUACUAGAGGACCGCAUAGAAGCAAUUCAAGAGGAAAUAGCGGGAUUUUUGCUCGACCGGGUCAUAAAUCCCAAAGGAGAAUACUUUUACCCGCUACCGCCCCCAUGAACCACUUCCAAUUGUUAUCGUGCUCCAAAGGCACCAAUUAGGCUAAUGUCAUUGGUCCGAAGGCACCAAUUAGGAGAAAUUGUAUAUAGCUAGCUAAUUGUGUGUGUGUGUGUGUGUGUGUGUGUAUGAUCGGUUCUACUAAGAAUUCUAUUUAUAUAUAUGCAUAACGUGUACAAUAUGUAGUGUCGUAAAAUAUCAGCAAACAAAAAAGAAUUAAAUGGAAAACACAAAAUUAAAUGAAAAAGAAAUCAUAAACCCAAAACCCCCCAGCCUUUUAAUACCGGUUGGUGUCACAAACCGGUACUAAAGGGCUCCCUGCCCCCAGAGCUGGCUCGUGCCACGUGGUUGCCCUUUAGCACCGGUUCGUGCUAAACCGGUACUAAAGGGGGGGGGGCUUUAGUGCCGGUUACCGAACCGGCACUAAAGGACCUUACGAACCGGUGCUAUUGCCCGGUUCUGCACUAGUGUAGUGUUUGUUGCAAAAGAUUAGGCCAAGAAUCAGUGGUUUAUGGCAGAAAUUCGUAAACCAGUCUUUUCUGCAAAUCUAUGCUUCAAUGUGGUGGUUUUCUGCAAUUCACUCGAGUGAACUCAGUAAAGAAGUGACUUCAGAAUCUUGUAGAAAUGUUGCCUCCCCUGCUUUGUCUGAUGAGUGACAUACACAUGACAUAUAAGACACUAUGAUAUUUGUCUUACUUUAAUAACGCCGCAUACAAAUGAUUAAAACUAAUAUCUUGUGUUCAUUGUGAAAAAAUAAUAAUAUCUUGUGGAGGUGUACGGUGUUAUUUGAAUGCUCAGGCGUAGCCUUGUGAUGUAGGCUGCACGUCACAAGGUUUUUUGACUUUCAGCAAGUGUGGUUAGAGCUUUCAAUGAUAUAUAAAAGAGGAGAAGGCCAUGUUAGCUUGAACCUUGGUGCUGCUAGCCUGCUACUCAUUCUUCACGUAUUUUACUUGUUGGCUUGAGAUAGUUAUCAGUUUGUAACCAUUCUGUGUACUUCUCUUGAUGUCUCUUUAUAGAUGAAAGUGAGUCACGACAGCUGUGAUGUUGCCACAGGUUUUUUUUUGUUCCUUUUUUAGAUUUAUGUAUGGUUAUAGUUUCUUUGCACUUAUCAUUUUUUUAUCCUAGAUAAAUCUGCUGCCCCUACCAAGAAUACUCAUAUUACUUCAAUGUAAAGAAGUUCUAUUUAUCCGUUUCAGACAUAAAUGUGGAAAGUAACAGGACUUAUGAUCUUUUCCUGACCCUAGAGGUUAUGUAGAGUGGGAUUGCUUAGUUCCCCUCAGAACUUCCUCUUCUCCUGCAAUUGCGUACACCAAAGAAUAUUUGUCUGGCCAUCCUGUCAUGUUUAACAGUUUAAGCAUAAAUGUUUCUUCUGCCUUUGUUAACAAACAUGUUCCAACGGUUGUGGUGAUAUUUCGGUGUUCAUGUAUGAGGUUGAUGCAGUGAUUGGAGCUUUGCAACGAUUGCACUGGAAAGCAUACAGACAUAGGCUCUGUUUGGAUGUAGAUACUCAAGCCACGGAAUUGAAAUGGGGUGUUUAUCAGAAUUUGCUUAUCAGUACUACUAUUAUGUCUGUUCAGAGUCGAAAAUUUCUACAUGUAAAAGGAUUCUGGACGAUCGUACUUCCUCUCUUGUACCGAAAUUGAAAUGUUGUACCAACAUUGGCCAUACCCAUAUUCUGCAUGAAAUUUCGUCUGGACAAUUUGCUUCACUUGAAUCAAAGAACUUCCUAGUUUCUUUACUUUCUAAACAUGCUACCAGGAUCUCGGAAUCACGACCGCUACAGCUCCCACAUAACUGCAGGUCGCACUACAGCUUUGACUGUUUGCUGAAAUCAGAACAAAGUGGCAAACUGGUGCGCGUGAGAGUGACAAACAGUUGGGCCAAAUCCUGAAGAAAGCUCAAAUCCCUCAAAAGUGACACAAAUCACUGGAGCAGGGGGAAACGGCAAAUCAUAGAUGACACUUUGAUUUGAGGAGAAGCCACAGACUACUUGGUAAAAGAGAAACUGGGUCCAUGCGGAAACAAAUUGGUCUCUACAGAUGGAAUGAAUAUGCAUGCACUUAAAACGCAAAAAUGAGCUCCAAACACAUUUGUACACAGACAGAAUAUAAAAGUGAUUCAAUAGAACACACAGAACAUGUUGCUAUUACAAUACGGCAACAAAUAACAAAGCUCUGGUUCCAUACGAUAGUCAGCAUUGUAUUUAUUUCGACAAAGAGAAAAAAACAAAGCACUUCUUACCUAAGCUUGCAGUAGUUCUAGUUCUCAAAACACCAUGAUGGAUAGAGAAUAUAUGCAUAAAAGUCCACGAGAACAACAUAGGGCGACUCGAGCAUAGCUCUUACUAACUUCCUACACAGCGCUCUUCUACCAGUCUUCU
RNAcentral lists this long non-coding RNA (59372 nucleotides) under Triticum aestivum (bread wheat). RNAcentral's name for it is "long non-coding RNA (TAES_LNC005892)". Lineage: Eukaryota; Viridiplantae; Streptophyta; Magnoliopsida; Poales; Poaceae. The record is from RNAcentral.